This 45736-nucleotide long non-coding RNA is filed under the name Triticum aestivum (bread wheat). Its description in RNAcentral is "long non-coding RNA (TAES_LNC008898)". Lineage: Eukaryota; Viridiplantae; Streptophyta; Magnoliopsida; Poales; Poaceae. The record is from RNAcentral.
CGUUGGCUCGCUCGCCUGCCUUUCCGGCGUCGUUUUGAUGUUCGAUCGGACGUACCAGUAGCCUAGUGUCUGUCUGUCUGUCCAUGAGUACUACUCUUAUUAAGCUGACCACCCCAUGUGGUGUUUGUACCGGUGCGGGUCGUGGUAGAGUUGAUGAGAUCUGGUAGGGAAUUCUUUCUUCCUUCUCGUAGCGGUGACGGUGUUCCGAGACAUAUAAUUAUGUGUUGUCGUUCCAACUUCGUCUGUUUCCAUGCCACUUUUGUGCCGCUAGCUCAUGAUCGUGGUGGCGUGUCUCGUGUUGUCUUUGGCGCUGGGCCGGUCGGUCACGGCUUCGCAUCAUCAGGUCGACCCGCCCACGAUGCCAUGAUCCGUGUGAGCAUGCACGGUGGAGUUUUGGGGGUUUGCGGUGCGCCGCGCUGCGGCGGCACAUGGAGCUUGGACGGAUGUCGGGCAAGGAAAAAUAUCGCCGCGAUCGAGGUCUGGUGCUCGGAGCCAGAGCGCAGAGUCCACUUUGAUCUGGACUCUUGUCUGUGGCGCGCACUACUGUAUCUCGAGCGAGCGGAACACGCCGACACCGACACAGGAAAGGCUCACGAGGCGCCCCACUGUGCCUCUGAUCUCCUCGGGGGCCGCGCGGUUCAUGACGGGACCAGCCGCGGGCGCAGCCAGGUGCGGGCACGGGAUUGGGGGUACCAGGCGGUGGUCUUCGGCGCGGUCUGGGCCAACGCAUGGAUCCACGAGCAUGGUUUGGGCCUCACGGGCCCUUGUGCUCGCCGCUCGUUGAGCGUGGGCUGGUGUUGUGCCUUGGAGGUGGCACAUUUAGCAGUUACAUCUUCUCUUUCGAUGCUAAAAAAAAAAGCAGUUACAUCUUCUCUCUCAAAAAAAAAUCAGUUACAUCGGCACGUCUAAAGAAAAGCAGUUACAUCGGCGAAGGAAAAUUCAAAAGCGAAAUCAGUAGUUCAGGGUUGUUCCGCAACUCCUUUCAGGGUUGUUCCGCAACUCCGCCGGCGAGUCCGGUCCGAGGUUGCGGAGCGAGGGAGCGCGUUGUAGACGAAGUAGUCGAACACGCAAAAGUAGAUGAACACAGAAGAAACUAGCUUUAUUAAUCAAUGAUCAACUGUUAUAAUGAUUGCUCCUCGUCGCUUUAUAUAGGGGUAGGGGGUCAAGGGAUAAGUGGGUAGAUGAACACAGAGAAAUAUGGAGGAGACUAGCUUUAUUAAUCAAUGAUCAACUGUUAUAAUGAUUGCUCCUCGUCGCUUUAUAUAGGGGUAGGGGGUCAAGGGAUAAAUACCCACUUAACGUAAAGUGUGGAACCGGGAGGGGCUAUCCCAUGCGAUACGCACGCAGUCGCUAGCCUCACGACGUGGGCCGGUUUCCCAACACUCCUCCUUGGGUAAUUAUCCGUAUAUACAUGUCGCAAAACUUCAAAAAACCCAGUGGGAAAAAACAUGAAGAAAGAGCAUACAUUAUACGUUGUUGUAUUGCACGAAUUGUCUCGUCAAAAACCUCGCGUGAGAAACAUGAGAAAAACUCAUUCAAGGGAAAAAGAGCACAAUCCACUCAACCAUCAAGUUGAGUACUCGAUCAUCAAGAUUGAGAUUUUAACCACGAGUUUGUGAAGUUUCUCCCCCUGAACCUUGCAUCUCUCUAAGUCUCAUCAUACCGAUUCCACGCACACACCUCUCUAAGGUUGAUGCCGGUAAUGAUUUAGUGAACAUAUCAGCAAGAUUGUUACAGGACUUAGUGUGCAAAACUCUCACCUCGUUCAACUACUGCAGCUCAUGUGCAUAGAAGAACUUGAAACUAAUAUGCUUUGUGAGGUUACUCUUCACAUAACCCAUCUGGACUUGUGCAACACAAGCAGCAUUAUCUUCAUAGAUAAUAGUAGGGGUUUGUACGGUGUUCAGCCCACAUGUCUGCUGAAUGUGGCCGAUCACUCGCCAAAGCGAUACACAUUCUUUUGACGCUUUGAAUAGUGCCACGAUUUUCGAGUGGUUCAUGGAAGUCGACACAAGAGUUUGCUUGGACAAGGAAAAUGCAGUUCCACCACAAAUAAAAACAUAUCCAGUCUGCGAUUUGCAAUCAUGCGGGUCCAUAGGUACCCAGCAUCGGCAUAUCCUAUAAAUAGAUAGGUCUUGAUUCCUUCUAUAAAACAGGCUAAGAUCUUUGGUCCCUUGCAGGUAACGAAAGACGUCCUUGACACCUUUUCAAUGUCUUUUGGUAGGUUCAGAACUAUACCUCGCAAGCAAACUGAUGACGAACGCAAUGUCUGGUCGUGUACAGUUUGCGAGGUACAUGAGUGCUCCAACUACACUCAGGUAAGGAACCUCUGGUCCCAGAGUUUCCUCCCGCUCUUCCUUUGGCCUGAACGGGUCCUUGUCUGGCUGUAAAGAUCUCCCAACCAUCGGGGUCUUAGAAGGAUAUGCCUUAUCAAAUCCAAAUCUUUCCAACACCUUCUGGGUGUAGGCCGCCUUGUGCACUAGAAUCCCAUCAGGGGAAUGUUCAAGUUGCACACCUAGACAGAACUUGGUUUUACCCAAAUCCUUCAUCUCGAAUUCCAACAUCAGGUAGGAACUCACUUCCUCAAUAUCCUCAGGCGUACCGAUUAUGUUUAAAUCGUCCACGUACACCGAGAUUAUACAGAAUCCAUCUUGGGAUCGCCGUAUGAAAACACACGGGCAAUCUUUAUUGCUCGUGUAGCCCUUCUGAUGAAGGAAAUCACUUAAGCGAUUGUACCACAUUCGACCCGACUGUCUGAGUCCGUACAGUGCCUUUUGAAGUUGAACACUUUAUAGACCCCUAUUUGCUCUAUCAUGGUUCGGAACAGUGAUACCUUCUGGAACCUUCAUGUAUAUGUUCGAAUCCAAGUUACCAUACUGAUAAGCAAUGACAAAAUCCAUUAGUUUCAUUUUCAAGCCCAUGUUUACUGCCAUCGAGAUCAAGUAUCUAAAGGUAACUCCGUCCAUGACCGGGGAAUAAGUCUCCUCAAAAUCGACACCUGGUCGUUGAGUGAACCCUUGAGCGAUGAGCCUUGCUUUGUACUAUACUACCUUAUUAUUUUCAUCUCUCUUUCGAAGAAAAACCCACCUAUGGCCAACAUGGCGAAUGUGGGGAGGAGUUCGACAAACUGGUCCGAACACCUUCCUUUUGUUGAGAGAUAAUAAUUCAGUAGUAAUUGCCUCCUGCCAAUCUUUCCAAUCCGACCUUUUCUUGCAAUCAGCGAGCGUGUUAGGCUCAGGUUCGAGAUCUAUGAUUGAGGCAAUUUUUGUAGCAAAGUUAAUGUCGACAAUCACCGUUGCUCGGUUCAGGGACUCCCCCGUAUAAAUAUAAUUUAUGGACAUUUCUUCAUGGGGCGCAUCCGGUGCAAACACUUUCUCUACCAAAUUUCCCAUUAUGGGAGCAAGGUCCUUUAGAUUUCCCGCGCCGAUGUGUGCGCUCACAUCUCCGCUGGGUGUUUCCCCUAUGGGAAAGUUAAGUCCGGAAUUUUGUGCAUUGAAUUUUCCGUACUUGUGCCAGGUCUCGACUGGCUCCCCGUUUCAAUUUUGGAUACUUUGGCGAUAGGCUGUAAUAAAUCUCUCUUAUCAUUUUUCGUCGAGCGUCCCCGAGUACUUGGGAUUUGAGAAGCCGGAUUUCUCGUCCUUUUAGGCCUUUGGACGGGAGCGGGUAUAUCAUCAUUUUUCUUUGGUAUUUCAACCCUUUUCGGUGCAUUGCGCGUGUGCACAUGCGAUUUUGUCAUAGUCUUUAAGUCACUAAAGUGGUUAGGCAGUUGAUUUGCUAAAAACUGCAAAUCUAUUAUCUUUUGGACUUCUCUCUCAGUCUCAGUAGUGCGCAGGUCAUGAGCGUGGAUCCCCGUGGCUUGCCAUGUGAUUUCUUGACUUUUAGCAUCAAGGGGUUGAUUCUCUCCUCCUAAAAUCGGGAAAAAAUCCUCGUAAAAAAUGCAAUCAGCAAAACGAGCCGUGUGACAGUCACCUGUCAUGGGGUCCAGAUACCUGAUUAUGGACCCAGUCGCAUAACCAACGUAUAGCCCCGACUGAUGGAGCGGGCCCAUCGCCGAUCACUGAGGGGGUGGUAUUGGUACAUAUACCUGGCAACCGACCCUACGAAGGUGGGUAAUUUUCAGUGCCGACCCUUGCGUAAGUUGAACAGGAGAGUGGAUGUUGUAGGCCGACGGUCUAAAGUUGAUGAGAUUGGCCGCGUGUAACACCGCAUGGCCCCAACAUGUAGUUGGUAAAUUACAACCCUGAAGGAGCAGUUCGGCAAUGAAUUUAAUUCUUUUAAUAAAUGCCUCGGCAAGUCCAUUUUGUGUAUGAACAUGCGGUAUCGAGUGCUCAACUUUGAUUCCCAUUGUCAUGCAAUAAUCAUUGAACGCCUUUGAAGUAAAUUCUCUGACGUUGUCCAUUCGAAUAGACUUUAUACGAUAAUCAGGGAAAUUAUUCCUCAUUUGUAUGAUCUGAGAGAUCAACUUUGCAAAGGCAUGGUUUCGUGUUGACAGCAGGCAACAUUGGACCAUUUAGAGGAAGCAUCAAUGAGCACCAUGAAGUACCGAAACGGCCACGUGAGGGGCUGAAUUGGACCCCAUAUUUCCCCUUGGAUACGUUCCAAGAACGCGGGGAUUUCAUCCCUCACCUUGAGGGGUGAUGGCCUAAUGACUAACUUCCCCUUAGCGCAUGCAGAGCACACGAAAUCAUCGGGAUUCAGGAAGUUCUUCAUGUUAACAUUGUGACCAUGCGAGUUGUUAAUUAUAUUUCUCAUCAUCCUAAGUCCGGGGUGGCCUAACCUAUCGUGCCAGAGGCAGAAGAGUUCAGAUCUUCUAAAGACGGUCUUGAGGAUAGUGUACACGGGCGGUGCUACUAUUUUAGUGUAGUAUAACCCUAUGUCAAACGAAGGAAGUCUUUCAAUAACAUGUUUACCACUUGCAUCCCGCUUUGUGAUGAGUAGGCACUCCUUGCCGUUUUCAUCAUCGGUAUCAAUAUGGAAACCAUUAGCACGGAUGUCUCUCAAGCUCAAAAGAGUACGAAUCGACUCCGGGUACAACAAUGCAUCAUUAAUGAUCAAACUUGUUCCCAUAGGAAGUAUAAUAGUGGCUUGUCCGGAGCCAACUAUGUGCGAACCGCAGUCGGCGAUUGUCAUAAUACUUCCCGAAGAUUUUUUUAUGGACUCAAAGUACUUAGUUUCUCGUAAAAUGGUAUGAGUGGUGGCGCUAUAGGCAAGGCACGUUUCCUCCAUUCGGGCGCCACACGCGUUCUAAAAUAUGACAUCUAAUUAAUGUAAUGAGGAAGAAACUACAUUAAAAAUAAAUGCACACAUCUUAGAAUGUAACAUACUAUCAUGUAUAAAUGAUGGAAUAAAUGUCAUCCAAUCGCCAAAGUAAAGAAUAAGUUUAUGCUCUCAUAGAGCUUACAACCAAAUCGAAUUUAUUGUAUCAGAUCACGGAAUCAUGAUAACCAAAAAGGUAUGCUAAGUGGACUCGAUAAACAAGCCAUUCACUUCAGCCGCAAUCUCCAUAGUAGUGAGCUGAUCCUCCUUAGAAAUCAUCUUGGAGGCAGCAUCAACAUCUAGUUGCGGCAUAGCCGAGGUGACCAUGCGGUUAACCUCCAUGGAGACAUGGGCGUCGUUAGAGACCGCCAAGGCCGCCGCGAUGGGCACCACGGGGGUCGCCUCUAUGGGCACAACAGGGGGCGUAGAGAUCAUCACGGGUGCCGCCAUGGGCGCCGGUGGUGCUCCCUCCUGAACCAAGGCGAGGUGCGUCUCAUGUGCUUUCCAAGCCUUGUAUGCUUCAACGCCCUCCGGUGGUGCGCGACACUAGCGGGAGAAAUACUCCACCGAGCCACAACGGAAGCAGUCCUGAGGCCUCUGCCCUCCCUUGCCCGGCUUGUGCUGCUUAGCCGAGGCGGAGGGUUGAGGGCCCUUCUUCUUGCCCUUGCGGCCCCUCUUCUUCUGUUGAGGCUUGCGGACUUUGAGAGCGUUCACCUCCUGGCGAGAACUCCCCCCAAGUGGUUGCGGGACAAAGUUCUUUUUGAGAACCUCAUCCUACACAUCCUCCACCUGGAGGACGUUAAUCAACUCUGGAUAGCUCAUGUAGUUAUCCUGGCAGUAAUUCAGUGAGGACUGGACCGCGUCAGGGUGGAAAGUGGAUAGGGUUUUCUCAAUCUUCUGGGUGUCAGUAAUCUCAGUACUACACAACCGAAGAAUCGUACAAAUCCGGUGCUGAGCCGAACUGUACUCCCCAACCGUCUUGAAGUCCGCAACCCUCAGACGGAUCCACUCUGCCUCUGCAUGUGGCUUCACAGUGUACUUCAGCCGCUCAAACCACUGCUUAAGAGCGAUCCAAAUGCCAGAAGCACCGCGCUCAGCCAUAUACUCAUCUUUCAGAGUAGGUGACAGGUGAUGACGGAAAAAAUGCAGAGCCUGCACAUUCUUAGUUUUGAAUUUGGGAUCAGUGGGGGCCAGCUGGGCCCCCUUACCGAUCGCCCUCAGGAGGGUUUUGCCCUGGAGAAAGAUCUCACAGUCUGAGGACCAUGGCACGUAGUUCAGCCCUAUGUGGCCAACUCAGUAAACUUCUUGUUGACAAUUCCGGCCAUCUGCGAUUUAUGCAAAAAUCAUGAGAUUACAACAGGUAAUCUUUUGCACAAAUGCGAUAAUGAUAAACUUAUUCAAUAAAAAUGACAUUCCAGUAUUUAAAACAUGUUAUUAUAUGAUUUACUUAAUGAUCAAGAGUGCUGAACAGUUAAUCUACAGUAGUAAAAUCAUACAAUAAAACAUGUUUACAAAAUAUAGCAUGUUAAGCGCAUCUAGUAUGUGAGAACUAGCCCAAAAAUCAAAUUCCCAAGAUAUUUUAAAGCCAAAAUACACAUUUUCAGCGAAAACAGACAAUUCCAGGGGCUUCUACACGAAGUAUUACAACAGGAAUAUAAUGCGCGUAAAAAUAGAAAACUACAGGGGCUAAAAUGCAAAGAACCGCAUGCGCGCGUGAUACAUCCAUUUUGCAUCAUGCUUUUAUAUCAAUAUUUAUUGCUUUAUGGGCUGUUAUUACACAUUAUAUAUCAAUACUUAUGGCUAUUCUCUCUUAUUUUAUAAGGUUUACCAUGAAGAGGGGGAAUGCCGGCAGCUGGAAUUCUGGUUGGAAAAGGAGCAAACAUUGGAAACCUAUUCCGCACUGCUCCAAAAGACCUGAAACUCCAGAAACUUAUUUUUGGAUUUAAUAAGAAUUAUUGAGCGGAAGAAACACCUCAGGGGCCCACACCCUGGCCAGGAGGGUGGGGGGCGCGCCCACCCCUACUGGGCGCGCCCCUGUCUCCUGGGCCCCUUGGUGGCCCCCUGGUGUCCAUCUUCUUCUAUAUGAAGGCUUUCACCCUGGAAAAAAUUGUGGGCAAGCAUACGGGAUGAAACUCCGCCACCACGAGGCGGAACUUUGACGGAACCAAUCUAGAGCUCCGGCAGAGCUGUUCUGCCGGGGACACUUCCCUCCAGGAGGGGGAAUUCAUCACCAUCGUCAUCACCAAUGAUCCUCUCAUUGGGAGGGGGUCAAUCUCCAUCAACAUGUUCACCAACACCAUCUCCUCUCAAACCCUAGUUCAUCUCUUGUAUCCAAUCUUGUAUCCAAAAUCACAAAUUGGUACCUGUGGUUGCUAGUAGUGUUGAUUACUCCUUGUAGUUGAUACUUAUUGGUUUACUUGGUGGAAGAUCAUAUGUUCAGAUCCUUAAUGUAUAUUAUUACACCGCUAAUUAUGAACAUGAAUAUGCUUUGUGAGUAGUUACGUUUGUUCCUGAGGACAUGGGUGAAGUCUUGCUAUUAGUAGUCAUGUGAAUUUGGUAUUCGUUCGAUAUUUUGAUGAGAUGUAUGUUGUCUUUCCUCUAGUGGUGUUAUGUGAACAUCGACUACAUGACACUUCACCAUUAUUUGGGCCUAGAGGAAGGCAUUGGGAAGUAAUAAGUAGAUGAUGGGUUUCUAGAGUGACAGAAGCUUAAACCCUAGUUUAUGCGUUGCUUCGUAAGGGGCUGAUUUGGAUCCAAAUGUUUAAUGAUGUGGUUAGGUUUACCUUAAUACUUUUGUUGUAGUUGCUGAUGCUUGCAAUAUGGGUUAAUCAUAAGUGGGAUGCUUGUCCAAGUAAGGGCAGUACCCAAGCACCGGUCCACCCACAUAUCAAAUUAUCAAAGUACCGAACGCGAAUCAUAUGAGUGUGAUGAAACUAGCUUGACGAUAAUUCCCAUGUGUCCUCGGGAGCGCUUUUCUCAUUAUAAGAGAUUGUCCAGGCUUGUCCUUUGAUACAAAAAGGAUUGUCCACCUUGCUGUACCUUAUUUACUUUUAUUGCUUGUUACUUGUCACAAUUUAUCUUAUCGCAAACUAUCUAUUACCUACAAUUUUAGUGCUUGCAGAGAAAACCUUACUGAAAACCGCUUAUCAUUUCCUUCUGCUCCUCCUUGGGUUUGACACUCUUACUUAUCGAAAGGACUACGAUAGAUCCCCUACACUUGUGGGUCAUCAAGACUCUUUUCUGGCGCCGUUGCCAGGGAGUGUAGCACUUUUGGUGAGUGGAACUUGGUAAGGAAACAUUUAUAUAGUGUGCUGAAAUUUUCUGUUACUUGUUAGUAUGGAAACUAACCCUUUGAGGGGCUUGUUUGGGGCAUCUUCGCCCCGACCAGUAGAGCAAAGAGUUGCUCCUCAACCUACUGAACCUACUGAAAAUGUUCACUUUGAAAUUCCUUCGGGUAUGAUGGAACAUUUGCAGGAGAUGGAACAUUGCAUCCCGAUUUAUACCUUAUCUUUGUGGAUGAAGUUUGUGGAUUAUUUAAGCUUGCAGGUAUUCCCGAUGAUGUUUUCAAAAGGAAGGUCUUCCCUUUAUAUUUGAAGGGAGAUGCAUUGACAUGGUAUAGGCUAUGUGAUGAUAUGGGAUCUUGGAAUUAUAAACAAUUGAAGUUGGAAUUUCACGAGAAGUUCUAUCCUAUGCAUCUUGUUCAUCGUGAUCGUAAUUACAUAUAUAAUUUCUGGCCUCGCAAAGGAGAAAGCAUCGCUCAAUCUUGGGGGAGGCUUAAGUCAAUGUUAUAUUCAUGCCCCAAUCAUGAGCUCUCCAGAGAAAUGAUUAUUCAAAAAUUUUAUGCUCGGCUUUUUCUCAAUGUUCGCACCAUGCUCGAUACUUCUUGUGCUAGUUCUUAUAUGCUAAAGACUAUUGAAUUCAAAUGGGAUUUAUUGGAAAGAAUUAAACGCAACUCUGAAGAUUGGGGUUCUGACGAUGGUAAGGAGUGAGGUAUGACACCUAAGUUUGAUUGUGUUAAAUAUUUUAUGGAUAUCGAUGUUUUUAAUGGAUUUAGCGCUAAAUAUGGACUUGACUCUGAGAUAGCAGCUUCUUUCUGUGAAUCUUUUGCUACUCACAUUUACCUCCCUAAGGAGAAGUGGUUUAAAUAUAAUUCUCCCAUUGAAGUAAAAGUAGUUGCACCUAUUACAGUUGAAGAAAAGAUUAUUACCUAUAAUGAUCCUAUUGUUCCUACUACUUAUGUUGAGAAACCACCUUUUCCUGUUAGGAUAAAGGAUCAUGCUAAAGCUUCAACUGUUGUUUGUAAGAGUAAUACUAGAACUUAUACACCUCCUGAGCAAAUCAAAGUUGAACCUAGUAUUGCUAUGGUUAAAGAUCUCUUGGAUGAUAAUUUAGAUGGGCAUGUUAUUUACUUCUGUGGUGAAACUGCUAAUAUUGUUAAACCAGAUGCCAAGAUACAUAGACCUGUCGUUGGCAUGCCUGUUAUUUCUGUUAAAAUAAGAGAUCAUUGUUAUCAUGGUUUAUGUGAUAUGGGUGCUAGUGCUAGUGCAAUACCUUAUUCCUUAUACCAAGAGAUUGUGCAUGAUAUUGCACCUGCUGAGUUAGAAGAUAUUGAUGUUACGAUUAAGCUUGCCAAUAGAGAUACUAUUAGGCCCUUUGGGAUUGUUAGAGAUGUUGAAGUCUUGUGUGGGAAGGUCAAAUACCCUGCUGAUUUUCUUGUUCUUGGUUCUCAACAAGAUGACUUGUGUCCCAUUAUAUUUGGUAGACCCUUCUUGAACACUAUUAAAGCUAAGAUUGAUUGUGAAAAGGAUGUUGUUACGAUUGGCUUGGAUGAUAUGACUCAUGAGUUUAAUUUUGCUAAAUUUCAUAGACAACCCCGUGAUAAAGAAUUAGCUAGUAAAGAUGAAAUAAUUGGUCUUGCUUCUAUUGCCGUGCCUCCUACUGAUCCUUUACAACAAUAUUUGUUAGACCAUGAAAAUGAUAUGUUUAUGAAAGAAAGAAGGGAAAUAGAUGAAGUGUUCCUUAAACAGGAACCUAUUCUGAAACAUAACUUACCUGUUGAAAUUCUAGGGGAUCCUCCUCCACACAAGGGUGAUCCCGUGUUUGAGCUAAAACCAUUACCUGAUAAUCUUAAAUAUGCUUAUCUUGAUGAAAAGAAGAUAUAUCCUGUUAUUAUUAGUGCUAACCUUUCAGAGCAGGAAGAGGAAAGAUUAUUGAAAACUCUGAAGAAGCACCGUGCUGCUAUUGGAUAUACUCUGGAUGAACUUAAGGGCAUUAGUCCCAUGUUAUGUCAACACAAAAUUAGUUUGGAGGACGAUGCCAAACCAGUUGGAGAUCCUCAAUGAAGAUUAAAUCCCAAGAUGAAGGAAGUGGUAAGAAAGGAGAUACUAAAGCUCUUUGAGGCAGGUAUAAUUUAUCCCGUUGCUGAUAGUCAUUGGGUAAGCCCUGUCCAUUGUGUCCCUAAAUUUUCUUGUUCUCUCUAAAAACACAGUUACAUCGGCACAUCUAAAGAAAAGCAGUUACAUCGGCGGAGGAAAAUUCAAAAGCGAAAUCAGUAGUUCAGGGUUGUUCCGCAACUCCGCCGGCGAGUCCGGUCCGAGGUUGCGGAGCGAGGGCGAGCGUUGUAGACGAAGUAGUCGAACACGCAAAAGUAGAUGAACACAGAGAAAUAUGAAGGAGACUAGCUUUAUUAAUCAAUGAUCAACUGUUACAAUGAUAGCUCAUCGUUGCUUUAUAUAGGGGGUACGGGGUUAAGGGAUAAGUACCCACUUAAGAUAAAGUGUGGAACCGGGAGAGGCUAUUGUUGGAAAUAUGCCCUAGAGGCAAUAAUAAAAUGGUUAUUAUUGUAUUUCCUUGUUCAUGAUAAUUGUCUAUUAUUCAUGCUAUAAUUGCAUUGACCGGAAACGGCAAUACAUGUGUGAAUACAUAGACCACAACAUGUCCCUAGUGAGCCUCUAGUUGACUAGCUCGUUGAUGAACAGAUGGUCAUGGUUUCCUGACCAUGGACAUUGGAUGUCAUUGAUAACGGGAUCACAUCAUUAGGAGAAUGAUGUGAUCGACAAGACCCAAUCCUAAGCCUAGCACAAGAUCGUGUAGUUCGUAUGCUAAAGCUUUUCUAAAUGUCAAGUAUCUUUUCCUUAGACCAUGAAAUUGUGCAACUCCGGGAUACCGUAGGAAUGCUUUGGGUGUACCAAAUGUCACAAUGUAACUGGGUGGCUAUAAAGGUGCACUACGGGUAUCUCCGAAAGUGUCUGUUGCGUGGUCACGAAUCGAGACUAGGAUUUGUCACUCCGUGUGACGGAGAGGUAUCUCUGGGCCCACUCGGUAGGACAUCAUCAUAAUGUGCACAAUGUGAUCAAGGAGUUAAUCACGGGAUGAUGUGUUACGGAGCGAGUAAACGAGAUUUAACAAGGUAUCGGCAUACCGAUGAUCGAAUCUCGGGCAAGUACUAUAUCGGUAGACAAAGGGAAUUGUAUACGGGAUUGAUUGAAUCCUUGACAUCGUGGUUCAUCCGAUGAGAUCAUCGUGGAACAUGUGGGAGCCAACAUGGGUAUCCAGAUCCCGCUGUUGGUUAUUGGCCGAAGAGUUGUCUCGGUCAUGUCUGCGUGGUUCCCCAACCCGUAGGGUCUACACACUUAAGGUUCGGUGAUGCUAGGGUUAUAGGGAAGGUAUGUACGCGGUUACCGAAUGUUGUUUGGAGUCCCGGAUGAGAUCCAGGACGUCACGAGGAGUCCCGGAAUGGUCCGGAGGUGAAGAUUGAUAUAUUGGAUGAAGGGUUUUGGAGUCCGGAAGUGUUCCGGAGGUACCGGGUGAUGACCAGCAUGACCGAAAGGUGUUUCGGGAGCCCCGACAAGUGUUGGGGGGCUUCAUGGGCCAAGGGGAGGGGGCAAACCAGCCCACUAAGGGGCUGUGCGCCCCCUCACCUAUUCCCACGUGACCAGGGGGUUUGGGGCGCCCCAUCUAGGGUUCCCACCUCCUGUCUUGGGGGCCAAGUCACCCAAAGGGGAGAUCCCAUCUGCCCUGGCCGCCGCCCCCCCUAGGGGAAACCCUAGGGCGCCUCCCCCUCUCCCUUCCCCCUAUAUAUAGUGGAGGUUUUGGGGCUGCCCAACACAUGAGUCUCUCUCUCCCAAGGCGCAGCCCUACCUCUCUCCCUCCUCGUCUCUCGUAGUGCUUGGCAAAGCCCUGUUGGAGUACCACACUCCACCACCACCACGCUGUCGUGCUGCUGCUGGACGGAGUCUUCCCCAACCUCUCCCUCUCUCCUUGCUGGAUCAAGGCAUGGGAGACAUCACCGGGCUGCACGUGUGUUGAACACGGAGGCGCUGUUGUUCGGCGCUUAGAUCGGAAUCGACCGCGAUCUGAAUCGCCACGAGUACGACUACCUCAUCCACGUUCUUGCAACGCUUCCGCUUAACGAUCUACAAGGGUAUGUAGAUGCACUCCCCUUCCCCUUGUUGCUAGAUUACUCCAUAGAUUGAUCUUGGUGAUGCGUAGAAAAUUUUGAAUUUCUGCUACGUUCGCCAACAAUGGCAUCAUGAGCUAGGUCUAUUGUGUAGAUUCUAUGCACGAGUAGAACACAAGUUGUUGUGGGCGUUGAUUUUGUUCAAUAUGCUUACCGUUACUAGUCCUAUCUUGUUUCGACGGUAUUGUGGGAUGAAGCGGCCCGGACCGACCUUACACGUACACUUACGUGAGACAGGUUCCACCGACUGACAUGCACUUGUUGCAUAAGGUGGCUAGCGGGUGCCAGUCUCUCCCACUUUAGUCGGAUCGGAUUCGAUGAAAAGGGUCCUUAUGAAGGGUAAAUAGCAAUUGGCAUAUCACAUUGUGGCUUUUGCGUAGGUAAGAAACGUUCUUGCUAGAAACCCAUAGCAACCACGUAAAACAUGCAAACAACAAUUAGAGGACGUCUAACUUGUUUUUGCAGGGUAUGCUAUGUGAUGUGAUAUGGCCAAAAGAAUGUGAUGAAUGAUAUGUGAUGUAUGAGAUUGAUCAUGUUCUUGUAAUAGGAAUCACGACUUGCAUGUCGAUGAGUAUGACAACCGGCAGGAGCCAUAGGAGUUGUCUUUAUUUAUUGUAUGACCUGCGUGUCACUGAAUAACGCCAUGUAAUUACUUUACUUCAUUUCUAAACCGUUAGCCAUAGUAGUAGAAGUAAUAGUUGGCGAGACAACUUCAUGGAGACACGAUGAUGGAGAUCAUGAUGAUGGAGAUCAUGGUGUCAUGCCGGUGAUGAUGAUGAUCAUGGAGCCCCGAAGAUGGAGAUCAGAAGGAGCAAAAUGAUAUUGGCCAUAUCAUGUCACUUUUUGAUUGCAUGUGAUGUUUAUCAUGUUUAUGCAUCUUAUUUGCUUAGAACGACAGUAGUAAAUAAGAUGAUCCCUCAUAAUAAUUUCAAGAAAGUGUUCCCCCUAACUAUGCACCUUGCGAAAGUUCGUUGUUUCGAAGCACCACAUGAUGAUCGGGUGUGAUAGAUUCUAACAUUCACAUACAACGGAUGUAAGCCAGAUUUACACAUGCAAAACACUUAGGUUGACUUGACGAGCCUAGGAUGUAUAGACAUGGCCUCGGAACACAAGAGACCUAAAGGUUGAACAUGAGUCGUAUAGUGGAUACGAUAAACAUGAAGAUGUUCACCGAUGAUGACUAGUCCGUCUCACGUGAUGAUCGGACACGGCCUAGUUGACUCAGAUCAUGUAUCACUUAGAUGACUAGAGGGAUGUCUAUCUGAGUGGGUGUUCAUAAGAUGAACUUAAUUAUCCUGAACAUAGUCAAAAGGUUUUUGCAAAGUAUGUUGUAGCUCGCGCUUUAGUUCUACUGUUUUAGAUAUGUUCCUAGAGAAAAUUUAGUUGAAAGUUGAUAGUAGCAAUUAUGCGGACUGGGUCCGUAAACUGAGGAUUGUCCUCAUUGCUGCGUAGAAGGCUUAUGUCCUUAAUGCACCACUCGGUGUGCUGAACCUCGAACGUCGUCUGUGGAUGUUGCAAACAUUUUACAUACACGUUUUGAUAACUACGUGAUAGUUCAGUAAUGUUAAACGGUUUAGAAUUGAGGCACCGAAGACGAUUUCGAAAUGUCGCGGAACAUAUGAGAUGUUUCAAGGGCUGAAAUUGGGAUUUCAGGCUCGUGCCCACGUCAAGAGGUAUAAGACCUCCGACGAGUUUCUUAGCCUACAAACUAAGGGAGAAAAGCUCAAUCGUUGAACUUGUACUCAGAUUGUCUGGGCACAACAAUCACUUGAAUCGAGUGGGAGUUAAUCUUCCAGAUGAGAUAGAGAUGUUUCUCCAAAGACAUUGCCACCAAGCUACUAGAGCUUCGUAAUGAACUAUAACAUAUCAGGGAUAGAUAUGAUGAUCCUUGGAAUAUUCGCGAUGUUUGACACCGUGAAAGUAGAAAUCAAGAAGGAGCAUCAAUUGUUGAUGGUUAGUGAAACCACUAGUUUCAAGAAGGGCAAGGGCAAGAAGGGGUACUUCAUGAAAUGGCAAAUCAGUUGCUGCUCCAGUGAAGAAACCCAAGGUUGAACCCAAACCCGAGACUAAGUGCUUAUGUAAUGAGGGAACGGUCACUGAAGCAGAACUACCCUAGAUACUUGGUAGAUGAGAAGGCUGGCAUGGUUGACAGAAGUAUAUUGGAUAUACAUUGUAAUAAAUGUGUACUUUACUAGUACUCCUAGUAGCACCAGGGUAUUAAGAUACCGGUUCGGUUACUAAGUGUUAGUAACUCGAAAUAAAAGAGCUACGGAAUAAACGGAGACUAGCUAAAGGUGAGAUGACGAUGUGUGUUGGAAGUGUUUCCAAGGUUGAUGUGAUCAAGCAUCGCCUGCUCCCUCUACCAUCGAGAUUGGUGUUAAACCUAAAUAAUUGUUAUUUGGUGUUUGCGUUGAGCAUAGACAUGAUUGGAUUAUGUCUAUCGCAAUACGGUUAUUCAUUUAAGGAGAAUAAUGGUUACUCUAUUUAUUUGAAUAAUACCUUCAAUGGUCUUGCACCUAAAAGAAUGGUUUAUUGAAUCUCGAUCAUAGUGAUACACAUGUUCAUGCCAAAAGAUAUAAUAUAGUAAUGAUAGUACCACCUGCUUGUGGCACUGCCAUUUGAGUCAUAUUGGUAUAAAACACAUGCAGAAGCUCCAUGUUGAUGGAUCUUUGGACUCACUCGUUUUUGAAAAGUUUGAGACAUGCGAACCAUGUCUAUUGGUAUGUACGCAUGAAGAAACUCCAUGCAGAUGGAUCGUUUGGACUCACUUGAUUCUAAAUCACUUGAGACAUGCAAAUCAUACCAGAUGGGCAAGAUGACUGAAAAGCCUCGUUUUCAGUAAGAUGGAACAAGAGAGCAACUUGUUGGAAGUAAUACAUUUUGAUGUGUGCUGUCCAAUGAGUGCUGAGGCACACAGUGGAUAUUGUUAUGUUCUUACUUCACAGAUGACUUGAGUAGAUGCUGAGUAUAUUUACUUGAUGAAACAUAAGUCUGAAUUAUUGAAAGGUUCAAGUAAUUUCAGAGUGAAGUUGAAGAUCAUCGUGACAAGAGGAUAAAAUGUCUAAGAUAUGAUCAUAAGAGAUGAAUACCUGAGUUACGAGUUUGGUGCACAAUUAAGACCUUGUGGAAAUUGUUUCACAACUAAUACCGCCUAGAACACCAUAGUGUGAUGGUGUGUCCGAACAUCAUAGCAGCACCCUAUUGGAUAUGGUGCAUACCAUGAUGUCUCUUAUGGAAUUACCACUAUCGUUCAUGGGUUAGGCAUUAGAGACAACCACAUUCACUUUAAAUAGGGCACCACAUAAUUCCGUUGAGAUGACACCAUAUGAACUAUGGUUUAGAGAAACCUAAGCUGUCAUUUCUUGAAAGUUUGGGGCUGCGACGCUUAUGUGAAAAAGUUUCAUCCUGAUAAGCUCGAACCCAAAGCGGAUAAAUACAUCUUCAUAGGACACCCAAAAAUAGUUGGGUAUACCUCCUAAUUCAGACCCGGAAGCAAAAGUGAUUGUUUCUAGAAAUUGGUCCUUUCUCGAGGAAAAGUUUCUCUCAAAAAAAUUGAGUGGGAGGAUGGUGGAGACUUGAUGAGGUUAUUGAACCAUCACUUCAACCAGUGUGUAGCUGGGCACAGGAAUUUGUUCCUGUGGCACCUGCACCAAUUGAAGUGGAAGUUGAUGAUAGUGAUCAUGAAACUUCAGAUCAAGUCACUACCAAACCUCGUAGGACGACAAGGACAGGUACUGCUUCAGAGUGGUACGGUAAUCCUGUCUUGGAGGUCAUGUUGCUAGACAACAAUGAACCUAUGAGCUAUGGAGAAGCGAUGGUGGGCCCGGAUUCCGACAAAUGGCUCGAGGCCAUAAAAUCCGAGAGAGGAUCCAUGUAUGAAAACAAAGUAUAGACUUUGGAAGAACUACUUGAUGGUCGUAAGGCUGUUGGGUACAGAUGGAUUUUAAAAGGAAGCCGAACAAUGAUGGUAAGUAUCACCAUUACGAAAGCUCGACUUGUCGUUAAGAUGUUUUCCGACAAGUUCAAGGAGUUGACUAUGAUGAGACUUUCUCACUCGUAGCGAUGCUAAGAGUCUGUUGGAAUUAUAUUAGCAAUUACUGCAUGAUUUAUGAAAUCUUGCAGAUAGGAUGUCAAAACAUUGUUUCCACGACGAUAUUCUUGAGGAAAGGUUGUAUGUGAUACAACCAGAAGGUUUUGUCAAAUCCCGAAAGAUGCUAACAAGUGUGCAAAGCUCCAACAAUCCUUCUAAGGACUGGAGUAAGCAUCUCGGAGUUGGAAUAUACACUUUGAUGAGAUGAUCAAAGAUUUCGGGUUUAUACAAAGUUUAUGAGAAACUUGUAUUUCCAAAGAAGUGAGUGGGAGCACUAUAGCAUUUCUGAUGCGUAUAUGUUGUUGACAUAUUGUUGAUCGGAAAUGAUGUAGAACUUCUGGAAAGCAUAUAGGGUUAUUUGAAAAUUGUUUUUCAAUGGAAAACCUGGAUUAAGCUACUUAAACAUUGAACAUCAAGAUCUAUAAGGAUAGAUCAAAAUGCUUAAUAGUACUUUCAAAUGAGUACAUACUAUGACAAGAUUUUGAAGGAGUUCAAAAUAGAUCAGCAAAGAAGGAGUUCUUGGCUGUGUUAUAUGGUGUGAGUAUUGAGUAAGACUCAAGACAUGACCGCAGAAGAGAGAGAAAGGACGAAGGUCGUCCCCUAUGCUUCAGACGUAGGCUCUAUAGUAUGCUAUGCUGUGUACCGCACCAGAAGUGUGCCUUGCCAUGAGUCAGUCAAGGGGUACAAGAGUGAUCCAGGAAUGGAUCACAGGACAACGGUCAAACCUAUCCUUAGUAACUAGUGGACUAAGGAAUUUUCUUGAUUAUGGAGGUGGUAAAAGAGUUCGUCGUAAAGGGUUACGCUGAUGCAAACUUUGACACUAAUCCGGAUUAUUCUAAGUAGUAAACCGGAUUCGUAUAGUAGAACAGUUAUUUGGAAUAGCUCCAAAUAGAGCGUGGUAGCUGCAUCUAGGAGAUGACAUAGAGAUCCGUUGACAUAGAGCAAAGCACACACGGAUCUGAAAGGUUCAGAUCCAUUGACUAAUAACCUCUCUCACACGCGACAUAUGAUCAAACUCCAUGGGUGUCGAUUCAUUACAAUCACAUUGUGAUGUGAACUAGAUUAUUGACUCUAGUGCAAGUGGGAGACUGUUGGAAAUAUGCCCUUGAGGCAAUAAUAAAAUGGUUAUUAUUGUAUUUCCUUGUUCAUGAUAAUUGUCUAUUAUUCAUGCUAUAAUUGCAUUGACCGGAAACCGCAAUACAUGUGUGAAUACAUAGACCACAACAUGUCCCUAGUGAGCUUCUAGUUGACUAGCUCGUUGAUCAACAGAUGGUCAUGGUUUCCUGACCAUGGACAUUGGAUGUCAUUGAUAACGGGAUCACAUCAUUAGGAGAAUGAUGUGAUGGACAAGACCCAAUCCUAAGCCUAGCACAAGAUCGUGUAGUUCGUAUGCUAAAGCUUUUCUAAAUGUCAAGUAUCUUUUCCUUAGACCAUGAGAUUGUGCAACUCCCGGAUACCGUAGGAAUGCUUUGGGUGUACCAAACAUCACAACAUAACUGGGUGGCUAUAAACAUGCACUACGGGUAUCUCUGAAAGUGUCUGUUGGGCUGGCACGAAUCGAGACUGUGAUUUGUCACCCCGUGUGACGGAGAGGUAUCUCUGGGCCCACUCGGUAGGAAAUCAUCAUAAUGUGCACAAUGUGAUCAAGGAGUUGAUCACGGGAUGAUGUGUUACGAAAUGAGUAAAGAGACUUGCCGGUAACGAGAUUGAACAAGUUAUCGGCAUACCGACGAUCGAAUCUCGGGCAAGUACUAUACGGUAGACAAAGGGAAUUUUGUACGGGAUUGAUUGAAUCCUUGACAUCAUGGUUCAUCCGAUGAGAUCAUCGUGGAACAUGUGGGAGCCAACAUGGGUAUCCAGAUCCCGCUGUUGGUUAUUGGCCGGAGAGUUGUCUCGGUCAUGUCUGCAUGGUUCCCAAACCCGUAGGGUCUACACACUUAAGGUUCAGUGACGCUAGGGUUAUAGGGAAGGUAUGUAUGCGGUUAACGAAUGUUGUUCGGAGUCCCGGAUGAGAUCCCGAACGUCGCGAGGAGUCCCAGAAUGGUCCGCAGGUGAAGCUUGAUAUAUUGGACGAAGGGUUUUGGAGUCCGGAAGUGUUCCGGAGGUACCGGGUGAUGAUCAGCAUGACCAAAAGGUGUUUCGGGAGCCCCGACAAGUGUUGGGGGGCUUCAUGGGCCAAGGGGAGGGGGCAAACCAGCCCACUAAGGGGUUGUGCUCCCCCCUCACAUAUUCCCACGUGACCAGGGGGUUUGGGGCGCCCCAUCUAGGGUUCCCACCUCCUGGCUUGGGGGCCAAGUCACCCAAAGGGGAGAUCCCAUCUGCCCUGGCCGUCGCCCCCCUAGGGGAAACCCUAGGGCGCCUCCCCCUCUCCCUUCCCCCUAUAUAUAGUGGAGGUUUUGGGGCUGCCCAACACAUGAGUCUUUCUCUCCCAAGGCGCAGCCCUACCUCUCUCCCUCCUCGUCUCUCGUAGUGCUUGGCGAAGCCCUGCUGGAGUACCGCGCUCCUCCACCACCACCACGCCGUCAUGCUGCUGCUGGAUGGAGUCUUCCCCAACCUCUCCCUCUCUCCUUGCUGGAUCAAGGCAUGGGAGACGUCACCGGGCUGCACGUGUGUUGAACACGGAUGCACCGUUGUUCGGCGCUUAGAUCGGAAUCGUCCGCGAUCUGAAUCGCCACGAGUACGACUACCUCAUCUGCGUUCUUGCAACGCUUCCGCUUAGCGAUCUACAAGGGUAUGUAGAUGCACUCCCCUUCCCCUCGUUGCUAGAUUACUCCAUAGAUUGAUCUUGGUGAUUCAUAGAAAAUUUUGAAUUUCUGCUACGUUCCCCAACAGCUAUCCCGUGCGAUACGCACGCAGCCGCCAGCCCCACGACGUGGGCCGGUUUCCCAACAAGGGUAACCCUUGUAAAGGUUACUCACACAUUCUUUGAUGGUGAUAAGUGACGUAUUGCAUAUGUGAUACUUGUCACAAUUAGAAGUUUUGGGUUUUUCUUCAUAUAUUUAAUAUUUUUUUCUUGAGCCACACAUCUAAAUCUCGAAUCGUUUUCAUAAGUGGGUUUCUCGAACCAUUUUCAUAAGUGGGUUUCUUGCAUUGAGAUUUCAGAGACAAAAUCCCAUGUUAACAGGUUCAACCGAUUUUUUUUCUUGAAAAUACCACGGGAAGAAGAAGAAAAACAUAAAUAAAAAUAGGGAAGCACACUUCAGGCACAUGUGUGCUUCACGCUGCCCCCCAAAAGGGCAAAAGGCCGAAAAGAAAAAAGAAAAACAGAAGCAUAGUUGAAUUUUUCUUUUGAAUUCCACAAAAAAAGAGUUUUUCUUUUGAAAACACAUUUGUGUUUUUCACUUUUCAUGAAGCACACAUGUGCUUUCCAUUUUCCGAAAAAGCACAAAAGGUGUGCUUCAUGCGGGUGCACAACUACGUAUCACCACGAAACACACUUGUUUUCACUUACCGAAAAGUACAGGUGUGCUAACGCGUAAGCUAUGCUUUUCACUUUUGAGAAAACAUAGUUGUGCUUGUCGCGAAAGCACAUCUAUGAGAAGCGUAGCUGUGUUUUUUCACUUUCAGAAAGCAUAGUGGCAAGUUCAUGUGAAAGCACAAAUAUGUUUCACACCUAUGUCUUUUACACAACGUGCUUCAUGCAAGAAAUCCAACAUAAAUAAAUAAACAGAAUCAAAUUAUAUUUUUAGGAAACCUAGGAAAAAUCACGAAAUAUUCAAAACCCCCACAAAAUCUAAAAAACCAAACACAUGCAUGAAUUAAAAAUUGUUUCCUGUGGGUGUGCACAACUAGCCACACAUGGUGGCGGUUGGGCACACCAGCGCGGCGCACCCCCGCGCGCCCGCCUGCGGCACCCUACCCGUAGGGGAAAACACAUAAGAGAGCUUGUAUAACGCCUCAGAUCACAUCAAACGGAUUCAGAGAAGACAAUUCUCACAUGCACCUGGCGAGGCCGAAGCUGGCCGAUCUUCGUCGGUCUGAACUGGACCUGGAGGACCAAAAGCACAACCGCAUCAUACACUCCGAAGGGCAGUGCCGUCGAGACAAAUCUAUAAAAGAAGAAACCUAGGAUAAAUCACACUCCACGGCAAUGAUGGCAAGAAGUACCACUUCAACAUGGACGACACAUGGAUUACUUAUUCCAUGCCAACAAUGGUGCCAUCGCCUAACCACCGAUGAGUAGGGACCAAAACCUGGACUACAAACUUCAACCUACUAACACUGGUCUGAUACCAACUUGUACACUACAUGAAUCAGGUAAUUUGUCAUCUCUGGACCUCUUUGCCGCCAGCUUUUCAUCGGGGAAGACGGAAAAGACCAAAUUUACCGUCGGCUGCUAACGGCAAAGAACAGUUGACGACAAAAUACCGGAAAAACUGACGGCAAAGCCCCAUUGUCGUUUGUGCUGCUGCAGGCUGAUGGAAAAGCCCCAUUAUCGGUAGUGAAACAGACAGACCUCAGGGUAGGGGGUCCCGAGCUGUGGAUCUCGGAUCUAUGGGUAACAGGGGACGAAGUAGACAUUAUUUACCCGGAUCGGCCCCCUCGAAGAGGUAAUACCCUACGUCCUGCUUGAUUAUAUUGAUGGUGAUAUAUCGAGUACAUGCUUGAUCUACCUCGAGAUUGCAAGUAGUGUUCUAACCCUAACGCUAGGUGGUUGUAAUUGUGACCCUCCCUCUAUGGACUAGACCUCCCAGUUUACAUAGACACUAGGGUACCUUAGCUUACAAAUGGCCGGUUGCCAAUCUAGUAUCACAUGCGCCGCCCAGCCGAUGUAGGUCUUGGAGUACACGUCAAGUCUUCGGUAGAGUCCAUCUUAAUCGCGCUGAAGUAUGAGGCUUCCAGACUCCUUUCUUAGAAAUGGUGGGCCAUAAGCUCGGCCCAUGGACUGUGGGCCGACUAGGUCGGUACCCCCUAGUCCAAGCCCAUCCCGACUAUCAUAAAUUAAAAUAAAACAGAUCCUUCACGGUCACUACACAUAUACUUGUGCUAUGUUCCUUUGUUAAUUGCCAUGGAGCCAAAGAUAACUAUCGUGAUACAAAUUCCUUAACACUAUACCCGGCUAUCAACCAGGGGCUUGGAUUUAACCCAACGCUCACAUAAAAGUCCAAACAGAUUGUUUGAUGUCUUGGAUGUUGCAUUGUAUGAAUCAAUUUUGAACAUGAUUUUGGUUAAUAGUUGGGUUGCCCGACUGUCGGUGUACAAAAGUAUGGGUACUUCUGUACCCCUUACUUGUGCACGGACGAUCGCAGCCACCCCUACAGCAAGGCUUGGCAGGGCAGAGGAAGACAUCAGAAGGCAAGACAAGUACAAAGAAUAUCAAGACAGAUGCCCGGAGUAGCAAGUAGCAAGAGGCAAGCAGGGCCACGCCCGGCAACAAGCCUUGCCGAGAAACCUGCGCGGCCCCCGGCAAGCCCCUUGCCGGGGCACCUUGCGAAGAGACCAGCAAGGCCACCACCCUUGGGCUUGAGAGCUCUAACACCAUCGGCAAUAUUAAAGAUCAAGAUUUGAAGAGCACAUGCAUGGUAGCAUGCGGCUCCUCACGAAGAUCGACAACCCACGGGUCCACGUGGGGUCAAAUGAUGAAGACCCCCGGCAAGACCCUUGCCGAGGACGACUCCAAGGCCCCUGGCAAGCCUUGCCAGGGACGAUCGCUAGGCCGCAGCCAGGCCCACGCUCGGCAGGGUUCCUCCACCUCACCACCACUCCAACACGGCGAUGAUCGUGCCAACGAAGCAGGUGCGUGCGUGGCAGCAUGCAGAUCUUCGUGGAAGCCUAUCGCUUUGCCAACACAACAGCUGGUUGGCCAGCGUGGCACUGCAUACCUCAUCGACCCAGACGCGUGGCAAGGCGAGGGGAAGCGACGAAGGACGGGAUGGCCUCUGUUGCCAUCCCCAAUAAAGCGAGAGGAAACGUAUGUGUCACAUUAAAUGCGCUUGUCUUAUGCUAAUCGAGCGAUAAGCUCAGACCACUGUAGAUUGCCACCUCAUGUGUGCCACUGUGGCAACCCCUUUGUGUACAAAAGGAGGCCCGAGGCACAGAGAGAGAGAGCGGAUUCGGACUUUUGAACAAGGCACAUACUGUAGCUAGUUCAAAAGCUUAAGAACACUCAGAUAACCAGAUAAAGCAGGACUAGGGUAUUAUGCAUCUCCGCGGCCCAAACCUGGAUAAAAACCCUAUGUGUGCUAACAACUCGACCUGCUCUCCGUGCAACCAAUCCCUCGCCGAAUGUAGAAGGGAUCCUAGUGACCCCAUAGGUGAUCGGUUUCCCCGACACCGAUUCUUGUGCUUACCUCUUACGUUCUACUCUGUUUGACUAAGAGUGUAAUGGGAGAACCACUGUGCUACUUGUGAGCUGUGUUGGGAUUUCCUCGAAGAGGAGAGGAUGAUGCAAUAUAGUACAAAUAAGUAUUUCCCUUAGUUAUGAAACCAAGCUUAUCAAUCCAGUCGGAGAACCAAACAACACUAUGUAAACAACACCUGCAGGCAAACAACAAAUACUUACAACCCAAUGCGUAUAGGGGUUGCCAAUCCCUCAACCGUUACGAGCGAGAUUAAACGAUAUAGUUAUUGAUAGAUAGGCCAAACAAAAAUACAAACUAAAAUAAAUAAAAUAAAAAUACAGCAAGGUAUUUUUGGUUUUAAUAUAUGAUAGAAAAUAUACCCGGGGCGAUAAUUUUCACUAGAGGUUUCUCUCAUAAAAAUAGUAUACGGUGGGUAGACAAAUUACUAUUGGACAAUUGACAGAAAAGCUAAUAAUUAUGACGAUAACCAACACAAUGAUCAUGUAUAUAGGCAUCACGUCUGAGACAAGUAGACCGAAACAAUUCUGCAUCUACUACUAUUACUCCACACAUCGUCCGCUAUCCAGCAUUGCAUCUAGUGUAUUAAGUUCAUGGAAGAACGGAGUAACGCCUUAAUCAAGAUGACAUGAUGUAGACAAGAUAAACUCAUGUAUGAAAUAGAUCCCAUCUUUUUAACCUUAAUAACAACGAUACAUGUGUGUCAUGUCCCUUUCUAUCACUGGGAUUGAGCAUCACAAGAUCGAACCCAUCACAAAGCACCUCUUCCCAUGGCAAGAUAAAUCAAUCUAGUUGGCCAACCCAUACCAAUAAAUAGGAUAAAAAAUACGGGGCUAUAACAAUCAUGCAUAAAAGAGUUUAGAGAAAACUCAAAUAAUAUUCAUGGAUAGAUCUGAUCAUAAAAUCACAAUUCAUCAGAUUCCAACAAACACACCGCAAAAAGUCAUUACAUCUAAUAGAUCUCCAAGAACACCGAGGAGAACAUUGUAUUGAAGAGCAAAAAGAGAGAAGAAGUCAUCUAGCUACUAACUAUGGACCAAUAUAUAGGUCCGUGGUAAACUACUCAUGCAUCAUCGGAGGGCAGCAAAGAUGAUGAAGAGCCCACUCCAUGAUCUAAUACCCCUCUGACAGAGUGCCAUAAAAGGCCUCUAGAUGGGAUCUCGUGGUUCUGGAAAUUGCGGUGGCUGAAAAAGCAUUUCGUGGACUCCUCUGUUGGUUCUACGAUUUUAGAGAAUUUAGAGAGGCGGAGCUAGGUCAAACGGAGCCUCAUGGGCGGCACCACCCAUCAGGGCGCGCUUACGCGCAUGUGCGCACCCUAGUGGGUGGUGGGCCCAUGCUCCCACGUCUAGUUUUCUCCUGAAGCUUCUAGUGUCUCUUUUGUCUAGAAAAAUCUCCAAAAUGUUUCAUGGUAUUUGGACUUUGUUUGGUAAUGGUAUUCUACGAAACCAAAAGCAAGCAAAAAACAACAACUCGCACUGGGCACUAAGUUAAUAGGUUAGCCCAAAAAAUGAUAUUAAUUGCUUGUAUGUGUAUACAAAACAUCCAAGGUUGAUAAUAGAAUAUCAUGGGAAAAUAAAAAAUUAUAUAUACGUUGCUGACGUAUCACACUACGAUUGUGCUUCCAGAUUGGAUGGUAAAGCGCCCCAGUGGAGAAAGCUGAAGACCGAGUGUGCUGGUAUGUGUAAACUGAUCGGUGAUCCGAUAACAUUGUCUAACAUAAGAUCGUUUUGGAGAUCUUACGUGUCAAACAAGGGGAUUUUAUUAGAAAUAGCCGAAGUGUGUGGCAGUUUAGACCUCGGCCACAACCGAACGACUCACACACCGGGGGCUACUAACUAGCUCCCACAGUCAAGCUCCUACAACUAAGUGAAAAUUAUAAAGCAAUCAUAGUACUAUUGCCUAGUUUUCAUAUUCAUGGACCGCAUGAGGGAACCGAGACGUAGAUUAAGGGUUAAAUUUCUAUGGAAACUCCCUUUGUACUUUGUACAAAGGGGGUGAAAGCUAACGGCAACCUGAUGUCUACUAUGCAACCUUCUUCUUGUAGACGUUGUUGGGCCUCCAAGUGCAGAGGUUUGUAGGACAGUAGCAAAUUUCCCUCAAGUUGAUGACCUAAGGUUUAUCAAUCCGUGGGAGGCAUAUGAUGAAGAUGGUCUCUCUCAAACAACGCUGCAACCAAAUAACAAAGAGUCUCCUGUGUCCCCAACACACCCAAUACAAUGGUAAAUUGUAUAGGUGCACUAGUUCAUCGAAGAUAUGGUGAGACAAGUGCAAUAUGGAUGGUAUAUAAAAGGUUUUUCUAAUCUAAAAUUAUAAAAACAACAAGGUAACAAGUGGUAAAAGUGAGCGAAAACGGUAUUGCAAUGCUUCGAAACAAGGCCUAGGGUUCAUACUUUCACUAGUGCAAGUUCUCUCAACAAUAAUAACAUAAUUAGAUCAUAUAACAAUCCCUCAACAUGCAACAAAGAGUCACUCCAAAGUCACUAAUAGCGGAGAACAAAUGAAGAGAUUAUUGUAGGGUACAAAACCACCUCAAAGUUAUUCUUCCCGAUCAAUCCAUUGGCUAUUCUUAUAAGUGUCACAAACAACCCUAGAGUUCAUAAUAAAAUAACACCUUAAGACACACAUCAACCAAAACCCUAAUGUCACCUAGAUACUGCAAUGUGAGCACAAGUAUCCGCGGGUAUGAUUAUAUGAUAUGCAUCACACAAUCUAAGGUUCAUCUAUUCAAACCAACACAAAGUACUUCAUAGAGUGCCCCAAAGUUUCUACCGGAGAGUCAAGACGAAAACGUGUGCCAACCCCUAUGCAUAGAUUCCCAAGGUCAUGGAACCCGCAAGUUGAUCACCAAAAAAUACGUCAAAUGGAUCAAUAGAAUACCCCAUUGUCACCACGUGUAUCCCAUGCUAGACAUACAUCAAGUGUUCUCAAAUCCUUAAAGACUCAAUCCAAUAAGAUAACUUGAAAGGGAAAACUCAAUCCAUUACAAGAAGGUAGAGGGGGAGAAACAUCAUAAGAUCCAACUAUAAUAGCAAAACUCAUGAUACAUCAAGAUUGUGCCAUAUCAAGAAUACGAGAGGGAGAGAUCGAACACAUAGCUACUGGUACAUACCCUCAGCCUCGAGGGUGAACUACUCCCUCCUCGUCAUGGAGAGUGCCGGGAAGAUGAAGAUGGCCACCGGUAAUGGAUCCCCCCUCCGGCAGGGUGCCGGGACAGGGCCCCGAUUGGUUUUUGGUGGCUACAGAGGCUUACAAUGGUGGAACUCCCAAUCUAGGUUAUGUUAUAGAGAUUUGGGGAUUUAUAGGAGAGGUUGGCGUCGAGAACAAGUCAGGGGGCCCCACAAGGAGUCCACGAGGCAGGGGCGCACCCUAGGGGGGCGCCCUCCACCAUCGUGGGGCCCAUGGGACUCCCUUCUGAUAACUCUUUGUUCCAGUAUUUUUUUAUAUUUUCCAGAAAAAUAUCCAUUGAUUUUCGGCGCAUUCCGAGAACUUUUAUUUCUGCACAAAAACAAUACCAUGGUAGUUCUGCUGAAAACAACGCCAGUUCGGGUUAGUUCUAACCAAAUCAUACCAAAAUCAUGUAAAAAUAUUGUAAACAUGGCAUGAAUACAUAAAAAAUUAUAGAUAAGUUGGAGACGUAUCAAGCAUCCCCAAGCUUAAUUCCUGCUUGUCCUCGAGUAGGUAAAUGAUAGAAACAUAAUUUUUGAUGUGGAAUGCUACCUAACAUAUUUAUCAAUGUAAUCUUCUUUAUUGUGGCAAGAAUAUUCAGGUUCAUAAGAUUCAAAACAAAAGAUGAAUAUUGACAUAAAAAACGAUAAUACUUCAAGCAUACUAAUAAAGCAAUCAUGUCUUCUCAAAAUAACAUGGCCAAAGAAAGCUAUCCCUACAAAAUCAUAUAGUCUGGAUAUGCUCUAUCUUCGUCACACAAAAUAUUUAAAUCAUGCACAACCCCGAUGACAAGCCAAGCAACUAUUUCAUACUUUUGCUGUUCUCAAACUUUUUCAAUCUUCACGCAAUACAUGAGCGUGAGCCAUGGAUAUAACACUAUAGGUGGAAUAGAAUGGUGGUUGUGGAGAAGACAAAAAGAAGGAGAUAGUCUCACAUCAACUAGGCGUAUCAACGGUCUAUGGAGAUGCACAUCAAUAGAUAUCAAUGUGAGUGAGUAGGGAUUGCGAUGCAACAGAUGCACUGGAGCUAUAAGUGUAUGAAAGCUAAAAAAGAAACUAAGUGGGUGUGCAUCCAACUUGCUUGCUCAUGAAGACCUAGGGCAAUUUGAGGAAGCCCAUCAUUGGAAUAUACAUGCCUAGUUCUAUAAUGAAAAAUUCCCACCAGUAUAUGAAAGUGACAACAUAGGAUACUCUUUAUCAUGAAGAUCAUGGUGCUACUUUGAAGCACAAGUGUGGUAAAAGGAUAGUAGCAUUGCCCCUUCUCUCUUUUUCUCUCAUUUUUUUGUUUUUUGUUUUUUUGGGCCUCUUUUUUUUCAUCCGGAGUCUCAUCCCGACUUGUGGGGGAAUCAUAGGCUCCAUCAUCCUUUCCUCACUGGGACAAUGCUCUAAUAAUGAAGAUCAUCACACUUUUAAUUACCUACAAUUCAAGAAUUAUAGCUCGAUACUUAGAACAAAAUAUGACUCUAUCUGAAUGCCUCUGGCGGUGUACCGGGAUGUGCAAUGACUCAUUAGUGACAUGUAUGAGAAAAUCAUGAAAGGUGGCUUUGCCACAAAUAUGAUGCAACGACAUGAUCAUGCAAAGCAAAAUGACAAUGAUGAAUUGUGUCAUAAUAAACGGAAUGGUGGAAAGUUGCAUGUCAAUAUAUCUAAGAAUGGCUAUGGAAAUGCCAUAAUAGGUAGGUAUGGUGGCUGUUUUGAGGAAGGUAUAUGGUGGGUGUAUGGUACCUGUGAAAGUUGCACGACACUAGAGAGGCUAGCAAUGGUGGAAGGGUGAGAGUGCAUAUAAUCCAUGGACUCAACAUUAUUCAUAAAGAACUCACAUACUUGUUGCAAAAAUCUAUUAGUCAUUGAAACAAAGUACUACGCGCAUGCUCCUAGGGGGAUAGAUUGGUAGGAAAAGACCAUCGCUCGUCCCCGACCGCCACUCAUAAGGAAGACAAUCAAUAAAUAAAGCAUGCUCCAACUUCAUCACAUAAUGGUUCACCAUACGUGCAUGCUACGGGAAUCACAAACUUUAACACAAGUAUCUCUCUAAUUCACAACUAAUCUAUUAACAUGACUCUCAUAUCACCAUCCUCAUAUCUCAAAACAAUCAUAAGGAAUCAUACUUCUCAUAGUAUUCAAUGCACUUCAUAUGAAAGUUUUUAUUAUAUCUCUCUUGGACUAAAUUCAUAACCAAAGAAAAUUACCAUGUUGUUUAAGAUUAUCAAAAUAAUAUAAGUGAAGCAUGAGAGUUCAUCAAUUUCUCCAAAAUGAAACCACCGUCAUGCUCUAAAAGGAUAUAAGUGAAGCACUAGAGCAAAUGACAAACUACUCCGAAAGAUAUAAGUGAAGAUCAAUGAGUAGUUGAAUAAUUAUGUAACUAUGUGAAGACUCUCUAACAUUUAAGAAUUUCAGAUCUCGGGAUAUUAUUCAAACAACAAGCAAAACAAAAUAAAAGAAAAUGACGCUCCAAGCAAAACACAUAUCAUGUGGUGAAUAAAAAUAUAGCUCCAAGUAAAAUUACCGAUAGACGAAGACGAAAGAGGGGAUGCCAUCCAGGGCAUCCCCAAGCUUAGGCUCUUGGUUGUCCUUGAAUAUUAUAUUCAGGUGCCUUGGGCAUCCCCAAGCUUAGGCUGUUUCCACUCCUUAUUCCAUAGUCCAUCGAAUCUUUACUCAAAACUUGAAAACUUCACAACACAAAACUCAACAGAAAACUCGUAAGCUCCGUUAGUAUAAGAAAAUAAAUCACCACUUUUGGUACUGUUGUAAACUAAUUCUAAAUUCAUAUUGGUGUUGUAUCUACUAUAUUCCAACUUCUCUAAGGUUAAUACCCUCCGAUACUACUCAUAGAUUCAUCAAAAUAAGCAAACAACACAAAGAAAACAGAAUCUGUCAAAAACAGAACAAUAUGUAGUAAUCUGUAACUCUUGAAUACUUCUGUAACUCCAAAAAUCCAACCAAAUUAGGAAAACCUGAGCAAUUUGUGUACCAAUACAUAGAAAAAAUAAUCAUAUCAAAAUCAUGUUUAUGCGAAUUAUCAAAACUAAUUUACUGGGUGGAAAAGUUUCUGAUUUUCAGCAGGAUCAACAUAACUAUCACCGUAAGCUAUCCCAAAGGUCUUACUUGGCACUUUAUUGAAACAAAAGCUAUAAAACAUGAUUACUACAGUAGCUUAAUCAUGUUAACUCACCAAAACAGUAGGGGUAAAUGUUGGGUUGUCCCCCAGCAAGCGCUUUUCUUUAAUGCCUUUUUAGCUAGGCAUGAGGAUUUCAAUGAUGCUCACAUAAAAGAUAUGAAUUGAAACACAAAGAGAGCACCAUGAAGACUAUGACUAGCACAUUUAAGUCUAACCCACUUCCUAUGCCUAGGGAUUUUGUGAGCAAACAACUUAUGGGAACAAGAAUCAACUAGCAUAGGAAAGGAAAACAAGCAUAACUUCAAGAUUUUCAACACAUAGAGAGGAAACUUGAUAUUAUUGCAAUUCCUAAAAGCAUAAAUUCCUCCCUCAUAAUAAUUUUCAGUAGCAUCAUGAAUGAAUUGAACAAUAUAACUAUCACAUAAAGCAUUAUUUUCAUGAUGCAUAGGCAUAUAAUUUUUAUUACUCUCCACAUAAGCAAAUUUAUUUUCAUGAAUAGUAGUGGGAGCAAACUCAACAAAAUAACUAUCAUGUGAGGCAUAAUCCAAUUGCAAAUUAAAAUCAAGAUGACAAGUUUCAUGGUUAUCAUUAAUCUUUAUAGCAUACAUGUCAUCACAAUAAUAAUCAUAGUUAGCAACUUUGUUCUCAUAAUCAAUUGGAACCUCUUCCAAAAUAGUGGAUUCAUCACUAAAUAAAGUCAUGACCUCUCCAAAUACACUUUCAUAAUUAUCACAAUAAGAUUCAACACCCUCCAAAAUAGUGGGAUCAAUACUACCUACAGUUGGCACUCUUCCAAACCCACUUUCAUCAAUAUAAUCAUCAUAAAUAGUUGGAAUGCUUUCAUCAUAAUAAAUAUUCUCAUCAAAACUUGGGGGACUAAAAAUAUCAUAUUCAUCAAACAUUGCAUCCCCAAGCUUGUGGCUUUGCAUAUCAUUAGCAUCAUGGAUAUUCAAGGAAUUCAUACUAACAACAUUUCAAUCAUGCUCAUCAUUCAAAAAUUUAGUGCCAAACAUUUUAUCGACUUCUUCUUCUAGCAUUUGAGCACAAUUUUCCUUUUCAUCAUUUUCGGGAAAGACAUUAAAAAGAUGAAGCAUAUGUGGCACCCUCAAUUCCAUUUUUUGUAGUUUUAUUAUAUAGACUAAACUAGUGAUAAAACAAUAAACUAAAAGAUUCAAUUGGAAGAUCUAAAGAUAUACCUUCAAGCACUAACCUCCCCGGCAACGACGCCAGAAAAGGGCUUGAUGUCUACUAUGCAACCUUCUUCUUGUAGACAUUGUUGGGCCUCCAAGUGCAGAGGUUUGUAGGACAGUAGCAAAUUUCCCUCAAGUGGAUGACCUAAGGUUUAUGAAUCCGUGGGAGGCGCAGGAUAAAGAUGGUCUCUCUCAAACAACCCUGCAACCAAAUAACAAAGAGUCUCUUGUGUCCCCAACACACCCAAUACAAUGGUAAAUUGUAUAGGUUCACUAGUUCGGCAAAGAGAUGGUGAUACAAGUGCAAUAUGGAUGGUACAUAAAAGGUUUUUGUAAUCUGAAAUUAUAAAAACAACAAGGUAACAAGUGUUAAAAGUGAGAGAAAAUGGUAUUGCAAGGCUUCCAAACAAGGCCUAGGGUUUAUACUUUCGCUAGUGCAAGUUCUCUCAAUAAUAAUAACAUAAUUAGAUCAUAUAACAAUCCCUUAACAUGCAACAAAGAGUCACUCCAAAGUCAAUAAUAGCGGCGAACAAACGAAGAGAUUAUUGUAGGGUACGAAACCACCUCAAAGUUAUUCUUUCCGAUCAAUCUAUUGGGCUAUUCCUAUAAGUGUCACAAACAGCCUUAUAGUUUGUAGUAAAAUAACACCUUAAGACACACAUCAACCAAAACCCUAAUGUCACCUAGAUACUCCAAUGUCACCACAAGUAUCCGCGGGUAUGAUUAUACGAUAUGCAUCACACAAUCUCAGAUUCAUCUAUUCAAACCAACACAAAGUACUUCAUAGAGUGCCCCAAAGUUUCUAUCGGAGAGUCAAGACGAAAAUGUGUGCCAACCCCUAUGCAUUGAUUCCCAAGGUCACGGAACCCACAAGUUGAACACCAAAACAUACAUCAAGUGGAUCAAUAGAAUACCCCAUAUUCACCACGGGUUUCCCACGCAGGACAUACAUCAAGUGUUCUCAAAUCCUUAAAGACUCAAUCCGAUAAGAUAACUUCAAAGGAAAAAAUCAAUCCAUUAUAAGAAGGUAGAGGGGGAGAAACAUCAUAAGAUCCAACUAUAAUAGAAAAGGUCGCGGUACAUCAAGAUCGUGACAUAUCAAGAAGACGAGAGAGAGAGAGAGAGAGAUCAAACACAUAGCUACUGGUACAUACCCUCAGCUCCGAGGGUGAACUACUCCCUCCUCGUCAUGGAGAGCGCCGGGAUGAUGAUGAUGGCCACCGGUGAUGGACCCCCCUCCGGCAGGGUGCCGAAAUAGGGUCCUGAUUGGUUUUUGGUGGCUAUAGAGGCUUGCGGCGGCGGAACUCCCUAUCUAGGUUAUGUUCUGGAGGUUUAGGAAUUUAUAGGAGAGGUUGGCGUCAAGAACAAGUCAAGAGGCCCCACAGGGAGUCCACGAGGCNNNNNNNNNNNNNNNNNNNNNNNNNNNNNNNNNNNNNNNNNNNNNNNNNNNNNNNNNNNNNNNNNNNNNNNNNNNNNNNNNNNNNNNNNNNNNNNNNNNNNNNNNNNNNNNNNNNNNNNNNNNNNNNNNNNNNNNNNNNNNNNNNNNNNNNNNNNNNNNNNNNNNNNNNNNNNNNNNNNNNNNNNNNNNNNNNGGGCCCACGGGACUCCCCUCCGGUAACUCUUCGUUCUAGUAUUUUUUAUAUUUUCCAGAAAAAAUCUCCGUUUAUUUUCAGCGCAUUCCGAGAACUUUUAUUUCUGAACAAAAACAACACCACGGUAGUUUUGCUGAAAACAUCAUUAGUCCGGGUUAGUUCUGAGAAAAUCAUACCAAAAUCAUGUAAAAAUAUUGUAAACAUGGCAUGAAUACAUCAAAAAUUAUAGAUACAUUGGAGACGUAUCACAACCCAUUUUCAAUAUCAACCACUCAAACAGGAGCAAAAAAAACAUCAGAACAUAAAGCCGAACUCAUUUAAAAACUUCGCCCCAAAAGCCUAUUCCCUUUAUGUUGUGGGGUUAACACGAAAAAUGCCCUAGUGAAAGGACUUAGGUGCGAGGCCAUCACUACGGUGAUUAGAUCAAAGUGGUUGAAUGGGAUGAAGGACAUGAAUUUACCCAAGUUCGGCCCCUCACGUGGAGGUAAAAGCCUACUCGUGCUCUUUGUUGCUACUUCUUGAGUAUCAUUUACAAGGGAGCGGAUUCGCUUAACCUAGCUAUCGAUUGAUUGUAACUUAAGUUUACCCGCCGCAGGGACUCACCUUUAUAUACACAGGUCGAGGCCCUGGGCUUACAAGAGUCCGGGUCGGGUUAUACUUCGUAACCGAUCCUUGCUCUAAGUCGCCUUGCCUUCUUUGGCAAGUCGCCGUCGGGCGGCUUACACCGCCGAGUCACGCAUCGUCUUCUGGUAUUGAGCCUUCAACCGAUCCACUCUGUAAGCCGCCUCCUGGCUCUGUGUCUUGGUCUCUUGGGCCUGUCUAGGUUUCAUUGUUAAGUCACCAAUAGUCUGACCCGGCCCUUCUAGGGUAGGUUAUAUCGUGGGCUCAUAUCCCCAACAUUAGGCCCCAGAUUGAUUUGAACUUGUUCAUGUUAAUCCUCAACACCUCUGGGUUGCGAGUCUUCUUUGGUUCUUAAGAACACUCAUCCUUUAAAUUAUCUUCAUAACCCGCCAUAUGAAGGGAUGAUGUCAUCUGCAUAAAUUAAGAAAAUUUCUCAUGACAUCACAACGUAUCUUUUGCAUUAAUCAACCAUUUCAAAAAUCGAGGUUUCCUUUUUGCUGUAGAAGUUAUCAUGCCUCCUCGAUUCUUGCACACACAUAUUACUGUGCCCUCUUUUCCUUAUAAAUAGCCAUGGGGGCCUGCCUUUUUCACUUUCCACCCCGUCGCCUCCGCUUCUUCUUCUUCCUCGCGAUGGAUGCUGCGACCGGAGCUCCGCCAUCCCCGUCGAGCUACGCCAGUCAACCCCAGCCAAGGUCGUCACAUCUGCUUGUCGCCGUCAGGAUCCAGUGACAUGCCGCCGCUCUGCUUCAUCUUAGUUCAUCCCCUUUUCCGAAAAGAGGCUAAUUUUGAUCCAAAAACACCAUCAGGAUGCUGUGGUAGUAGUUUUAGUACCAUCUCAAUAUUGAACAACCUAUAUUCCCUUCUAAAAUUGAUAGGUUGCUCGCUAGUUCUUCCAUCAUUACCUUUUAGGUUUAGCAAUUGUUUUUCUUUUUGAACUGCAUGUAUAUUCGUAAAUAUAGCUGUCAGUUCCGAAAUCUGUUUAUUCCAUACUUAGUAAAAUUCACCAAUCUUGAAAUUUAGAUAGCUGACCCACCCUUCACCUUUCGGGCGGUUUACCCAUGUAUUUGUAACAAAAUCUGGUGCCCCAUACUUAGACAACCCGCCAAUAUGCUGCCGGCUUAUACUUUCAUAAUUUAGCCCUCCAUAUUCUCAUAGCUUGAUAGUCACCUUACCCCCAUAGUUAGGGCGGCUCAUAAUUUCUUAAUAGCUCACCAUAACAUAUUUGUCGUCUUAUAUGCAUAACUGACCCAUUAUUGCUGAGAUAUCAUUUAGCCACUUAGGCGCCUUAUCCUUACAUUCUUAACCCGCCAUAACUUUAUUCCUUGCCUGCAGUUUUUAACCCGGCCAAUCAUGUCUAGAACUCCCACUUCUUGUGACCGGGUAGCCUCCCAAGUCUCAGAACUCAUGCUCAAUGAGUAUGUGUACAUGGGUGUUUUACCGGCUAAAAAUGUCAUCCACUGGUGGGUUCCUGGUCCUGAAACUAUCCCUGAGCCUAGAGAGGGCGAAGUUGUAGUUUUCAUAGAUCACCUCCUUCGUGGCUUUUCACCACCCAGGUCAAAAAAAUUCCAGGACGCUCUGCAUUUUUACAAGCUUCAUCCUCAAGAUAUUGGCCCCAACUGUGUCACCAAUCUGUGCCAAUUUCAAGUAUUUCGUGAAGUGUAUCUGCAAGAGGAGCCGACUAUUGAUCGCUUCAAAGACUUCUUUUACAUCACCGCCAAACUGAAAUGACAGACGGACUCAGUCUUGAGCUUGGAUGUGUUUCCAUUCAGAGGCGGAGAGAUGUAAAUUUCCCCUCAGCCAUACUGCCAAGUCAUCCCAAGGGCUAGAACAACACUUGGUUUUAUUGGCAAAACAAUGCUCUGGCUGAAGAAAACCCCUUGUCGGGUUAUCGUCCCUACCGGCUCAACACCAAUACCGAGAUUCCUGGUUGAUUAACCACCGCAGAGCGUGCUCAAUAUGCACACAUAUUUUCAAAGAUAAGGGCUUUGAUAGCCAAUGGCUUAACUCGAGUUGAUUUGACCUGCUGCUGGGACUCAUGGAGGAUCUUACCGUUGAGCCGGCGCGGUGGCUUAAUGUGUCAAUAUACUCAUGAUGUGAAGGACCUAUGACGAUACAACUAGAAACCUUUGUCAGACAAGGAGAUCAAUGAAAUGGUCAAGUCUUUGCUUGGGGAGUCUCAAGAAGCCUGCAAUAGGACAGAGAUGAAUCAUUUCUGCACUCUUAACCUAGCCCCGCCAGUAAGUACCUUGAAUAGACCUUUGUCUUGCUUAUCUAUUUGUACACUUCAUGCCUUUUAAAUUGCCGCCUCUUAUUAUAUAUAUACAGGCUGGUUCCACCUUCUAGAAAAAGAAGCUAACAACAACUCUAAUGGCUAACAAGAGUAAGCAGUGAAGCCUCAAGGUCCGGGUCGUCGUAAGAAACCGAGAGCAGAAGAGCUACUCCAGAUAGAUGAGUUGGAGGUAGAACUUGACUCCGUUGGUCUUCUUUUCAUGCAACUAAUUGAUGCCGAUUCCUCUCAGGACGAAGUGGAGACAAGCUGUGCCAACGAAGUAGAGGUAAUUACUGUCUCCUCUGACUCAGAACCCUUGCCAAGAAAGAAAACAAGGCGGUCAUCCGGAAAGUAAGAUUUUCUCACCCUCAUGCUUAUAUGGACCCCAACUUUCUUUUGAAGAAACAACAUCACGAGUCCAGGUGUCAGACUCGGAGUGGCGGCAUUGAAGAACUUGUGGCUGGCUUAUCCAACACGCCGGCUCCUCUGAAAUGUCGCAAUGAGGUGCCUCAUAGCCCAUCUCUAUCUCUUCCACGAGCUGGCCUCGUGCGGCAACCUCUUAACCCUUUUGACUCCGACUAUCAUGGAACACCUCCGUCAUCUGGCAACUCAACAGGAACAUAGCUUCCUACCUUCGUGGUUAACCCAGGGUAAAUGUUUACAUUUGUUGACAAAAACUUGUUGUCACAUACUCAUAAGCUUUUAUACUCUUGUCAUAGGGCCAAGGCCAAAACUGACAAGAAGAAAAAGGUGGGCGACUCUUCCAAGGCUCCCGAGGUCUUUGAGCCAGAGAAGCAAGUGUUGAAAACCCCUGAGGUCCCAAUCCAAAAUCCUUAAGACCCUGUCAAUCAGCAAAUUGAUCUGCCUCCGCAAACUAAGGGAUCACCUUCUGAGGUCAUGGAUACUGACGCUAACCCGGCAGACAACCAUGACCUGCCAAGUCCUAAGCCUUCCUCUCCUGCCAAAUCAACUGACAAGAGCCCUGUUGCUGACAAUGUUGAUGACAUUGCUAUCACCGGAUUAGCUUUUAAAGCGCCCAAAGCCUCCAAAGUGAUAGCAGAAAGCUCCAAAAGGUGUUAUAAAAUAUUUCUUUUCUUGGUCUUAGACUGCCAUCUUGAUCUGAUGAUAACUAGAAUAAGCAUCCAGGAAGCAUAAACUCUCACAACCCACCGUUGCAUAAAUGAUUUGGUUGAUACGAGGGAGAGCAAAUGGAUUAGCUGGACAAGCCUUGUUAAGAUCCGUGUAAUCAACACACAUACGCCAUGCGCCAUUUUUCUUAAGUACAAGCACAUGGUUAGCCAACCACUCAAGGUGAAAGACUUCCACGAUAAACCCGGCAACCAAGAGCCAGGUACCUCUUCUCCAAUAGCUUUACGUAGUUCUUCACUGAAACAACAGAGGAAUUGCUUGAUUGGCUUAACUUUGGGAUCCACAUUAAGAUGGUGCUCAACAAAUUCUCUCGGUACACCCAACAUGUCAGAAGGUUUCCAUGCAAAGAUGUCCCGGUUCUCACGGAUGAAUUCAAUGAGCAUGCUUUCCUAUUUGGGAUCCAUAUAAGCCCCCACAGUGAAAUGCUGAGAUGAGUCGCUAGGAACAAAUUCCACUUGCUUGGUAUCAUCAGCCGACUUAAAUUUCAACAGAGGGUCCUAUUCAGUGCUAGGCUUCUUCAUAGGGGUCAUAUCAGUUGGGUCAACAUUAUAUUUAUAAAACCUGAGCUCCUCAGUGGCACAAGCUGACUCUGGAUAAGCAGCAUCUCCUUCCUCGCACUCCAGGGCGAGUUUGCGGUUUCCAUGAAUAGUGAUUGUCCCUUUUGGCCCUGGCAUCUUAAGAUUCAAGUAAAUAUAACACGGGCGAGCCAUAAACCGAGCAUAAGCCGUCCGUCCAAAUAAAGCAUUGUUGGAAAUAUUCCCUAGAGGCAAUAAUAAAUUGGUUAUUAUUAUAUUUCCUUGGUCAUGAUAAUUGUCUAUUAUUCAUGCUAUAAUUAUAUUAACAAGAAACCGUAAUACAUGUGUGAAUACAUAGACCACAACAUGUCCCUAGUAAGCCUCUAGUUGACUAGCUCGUUGAUCAAUAGAUGGUUAUGGUUUCCUGACCAUGGACAUUGGAUGUCAUUGAUAACGGGAUCACAUCAUUAGGAGAAUGAUGUGAUGGACAAGACCCAAUCCUAAGCAUAACACAAGAUCGUGUAGUUCGUUUGCUAGAGCUUUUCUAAUGUCAAGUAUCAUUUCCUUAGACCAUGAGAUUGUGCAACUCCCGGAUACCAUAGGAAUGAUUUGGGUGUAUCAAACUUCACAACGUAACUGGGUGGCUAUAAAGAUGCACUACAGGUAUCUUCGAAAGUGUCUGUUGGGUUGGCACGAAUCAAGAAUUGGAUUUGUCACUCCGUAUGACGAAGAGGUAUCUCUGGGCCCACUCGGUAAUGCAUCAUCAUAAUGAGCUCAAUGUGACUAAUGAGUUAGCCACGGGAUCAUGCAUUACUGAACGAGUAAAGAGACUUGCCGGUUACAAGAUUUAACAAGGUAUAGGGAUACUGACGAUCAAAUCUCGGGCAAGUAACAUACCGAUGGACAAAGGGAAUUGUAUACGAGAUUGAUUGAAUCCCCGACAUCGUAGUUCAUCCGAUGAGAUCAUCGUGGAACAUGUGGGAGACAAUAUGGGUAUCCAGAUCCCGCUAUUGGUUAUUGGCCGAAAAGGUAUCUCGGUCAUGUCUGCAUGGUUUCCCGAACCCGUAGGGUCUACACACUUAAGGAUCGGUGACGCUAGAGUUGUUAUGGGAAUAGUAUGUGGUUACCAAAGGUUGUUAGGAGUCCCGGAUGGAUGCCAGACGUGACGAGGAGUUCCAGAAUGGUCCAAAGGUGAAGAUCCAUAUAUUGGACGAAGGGUAUUGGAGUCCGGAAGUGUUCCGAGGGUACCAGGCUAUGGCCAGCAUGACCGAAAGGUGUUUCGGGGGGCCCGACAAGUGUUGCAGGGCCUCAUGGGCCAAGGGGAGGGGGCAAACCAGCCCACUAAGGGGCUAUGCACCCCACACCCUUUCCCAUGUUGCUUGGGGAGGUGGGGUGCCUCCAGCUGACUUGGGAGGCAAGCCUCCACCUGCUUGGCUUGGGGGGCAAGUCUCCCUAGGGUUUCCCUAGGGAGAUCCAAUCUUCCCUGGCCGCUGCCCCCUAGGGGAAACCCUAGGGCGCCUCCCCCUCUUCCCUUCCCCCUAUAUAUAGUGAGGAGGUGGGAGGGCAGCCGUGACCCUUCCCCUGGCGCAGCCCCUCCCUCCUCCAACACCUCCUCCUCCUUCGUAGUGCUUGACGAAGCCCUGAAGGAGAACCACAAGCUCCACCACCACACCGUCGUGCUACCAGAGCUCUCCCUCAACUUCUCCUCUCCCCUUGCUGGAUCAAGGAGGAGACGUCCCCGGUCUGUACGUGUGUUGAACGCGGAGGCGCCGUCCGUUCGGUGCUAGAUUGGAUCUUCCGCGAUUUGAAUCGCCACAAGUACGACUCCAUCAACCGUGUUCUUGUAACGCUUCCGCUUAGCGACCUUCAAGGGUAUGAAGAUGCACUCCUGCUCUCUCUCUCUCGUUGCUAGUAUCUCCUAGAUUGAUCUUGGUGACACAUAGGAAAAUUUUGAAUUAUUACUACGUUCCCCAACAGUGGAAUCAUGAGCUAGGUCUAUGCAUAGAUUCUAUGCAUGAGUAGAACACAAGUAGUUGUGGGUGUUAGUUUGUUCAAUAUGCUUACCAUUACUAGUCCUAUCUUGAUUUGGCGGCAUUGUGGGAUGAAGAGGCCCGGACCGACCUUACACGCACGCUUAUGUGAGACAGGUUCCACCGACUGACAUGCACUUGUUGCAUAAGGUGGCUAGUGGGUGUAUGUCUCUCCCACCUUAGUCGGAUUGGAUUCGAUGAAAAUGGUCCUUAUGAAGGGUAAAUAGCAAUUGGCAUAUCACCGUUGUGUCUUUUGCGUAGGUAAGAAAUGUUCUUGCUAGAAACCCAUAGUAGCCAUGUAAAAUAUGCAACAACAAUUAGAGGACGUCUAACUUGUUUUUGCAGGGUAUGCUAUGUGAUGUGAUAUGGCCAAAAGGAUGUGAUGAAUGAUAUAUCUGAUGUAUGAGAUUGAUCAUGUCCUUGUAAUAGGAAUCAUGACUUGCAUGUCGAUGAGUAUGACAACCGGCAGGAGCCAUAGGAGUUGUCUUAAUUUAUUGUAUGACAUGCGUGUCAAUGAGAACGCCAUGUAAUUACUUUACUUUAUUGCUAACCGUUAGCCAUAGUAGUAGAAGUAAUAGUUGGCGAGACAACUUCAUGAAGACACGAUGAUGGAGAUCAUGGUGUCGUGCCGGUGACGAAGGUGAUCAUGCCGCGCCUCAAAGAUGGAGAUCAAAGGCGCAAAAUGAUAUUGGCCAUAUCAUGUCAAUUUAUGAUUUGCAUGUGAUGUUUGUCAUGUUUACAUCUUAUUUUCUUAGAACGACGGUAGCAUAAAUAAGAUGACCCCUCACUAAAAUUUCAAGAAAGUGUUCCCCCUAACUGUGCACCAUUGCUAAGGUUCGUUGUUUCGAAGCACCACGUGAUGAUAGGGUGUGAUAGAUUCUAACAUUCACAUACAACAGGUGUAAGCCAGAUUUAAACAUGCAAAACACUUAGGUUGACUUGACGAGCCUAGCAUGUACAGACAUGGCCUCGGAACACGAGAGACCGAAAGGUCGAACAUGAGUCGUAUAGCAGAUAUGAUCAACAUGGAGAUGUUCACCGAUGAUGACUAGUCCGUCUUGAUAUGUCUCCAACGUAUCUAUAAUUUUUGGUUGUUCCAUGCUAUUAUAUUACACCUUUUGGCUGUUUAUGGGCUUUAUUUUACACGUUUAUAUCAUUUUUGGGACUAACCUACUAACCGGAGGCCCAGCCCGUAUUGCUGUUUUUUUGCCUAUUUCAGUAUUUCGAAGAACAUGAAUGUCAAACGGAGUCCAAACGGAAUGAAACCUCCGGGAGCGUGAUUUUUGAAACGAACGUGAUCCAGAGGACUUGGAGUGCAAGUCAAGAAGCAAUCGAGGCGGCCAGGAGAUAGGAGGGCGCGCCCACCCCUCCUGGGCGCGCCCCUGUCUCCUGGGCCCCUCGAGCGGCCACCGACAUACUUCUUCCUCCUAUAUAUACCUACGUACCCCGAAAACAUCCAGGGAGCCACCGAAACACAAUUUCCACCGCCAUAACCUUCUGUAUCCGCGAGAUCCCAUCUUGGAGCCUUCACCGGUGCUCCACCAGAGGGGGAAUCGACCAUGGAGGGCUUCUACAUCAACACCAUAGCCCCUCCGAUGAGUUUCGAGUAGUUUACCACAAACCUUCGGGUCCAUAGUUAUUAGCUAGAUGGCGUCUUCUCUCUUUUUUGACCUCAAUACAAUGUUCUCCCCCUCUCUUGUAGAGAUCUAUUUGAUGUAAACUCUUUUUGCGGUGUGUUUAUCGAGAUCCGAUGAAUUGUGGGUUUAUGAUCAAGUUUAUCUAUGAGAAAUAUUUGAAUCUUCUCUGAAAUCUUUUAUGUAUGAUUGAGUUAUCUUUGCAAGCCUCUUCGAAUUAUCUGUUUGGUUUGGCCUACUAGAUUGAUCUUUCUUGCCAUGGGAGAAGUGCUUAGCUUUGGGUUCAAUCUUGCGGUGUCCUUACCCAGUGACAGAAAGGGUUGCAAGGCACGUAUUGUGUUGUUGCCAUCGAGGAUAAAAAGAUGGGGGUUUAUACCAUAUUGCUUGAGUUUGUCCCUCUACAUCAUGUCAUCUUUGUUAAUGCGUUACUCUGUUCUUAUGAACUUAAUACUCUAGAUGCAUGCUAGAUAGCGGUCGAUGUGUGGAGUAAUAGUAGUAGAUGCAGGCAGGAGUCGGUCUACUUGUCACGGAUGUGAUGCCUAUAUACAUGAUCAUGCCUAGAUAAUCUCAUAAUUAUUCGCUUUUCUAUCAAUUGCUCGACAGUAAUUUGUUCACCCACCGUAAUACUUAUGCUAUCUUGAGAGAAGCCACUAGUAAAACCUAUGGCCCCCGGGUCCAUCUUUUAUCAUAUAAGCUUUCAAUGUACUUUUAUUUGCAUCUUUACUUUUUGCAUCUAUAAUAUAAAAUACCAAAAAUAUAUUUAUCUUAUCAUACUAUCUCUAUCAGAUCUCACUUUCGCAAGUGUCUGUGAAGGGAUUGACAACCCCUUUAUUGCGUUGGUUGCGAGUUCUUUGUUUGUUUGUGUAGGUGCGUGGCACUUUUGAGGAGCCUCCUACUAGAUUGAUACCUUGGUUCUCAAAAACUAAGGGAAAUACUUAUGGUACUAUUGCUGAAAUCACCCUUUCCUCUUCAAGGAAAACCAACGCACGCUCAAGACGUAGCAAGAAGGAUUUCUGGCGGCAUUGCCGGGGAGGUCUUCGCUCAAGUCAAGACAUACCAAGUACCCAUCACAAACUCAUCUCCCUCGCAUUUACAUUAUUUGCCAUUUGCCUCAUUAUUUGCCAUUUGCCUCUCAUUUUCCUCUCCCCCACUUCACCCUUGCCAUUUUAUUUGCCCUCUCUUUCCCAAUUCUCUCUCUCCCUUUCGCUUGCCUUUUUCUGUUUGCUUGUGUGUUGGAUUACUUGUUGCCAUGGCGCAAGAUAAUACCAAAUUGUGUGAUUUUUCCAAUACCAAUAAUAAUGAUUUCCUUAGUACUCUGAUUGCUCCUCUUAAUGAUGUUGAGUCUUGUGAAAUCAAUACUGCUUUGUUGAAUCUUGUUAUGAAAGAUCAAUUCGCCGGCCUUCCUAGUGAAGAUGCCGCUACUCAUCUAAACAACUUUGUUGAUUUGUGUGAUAUGCAAAAGAAGAAAGAUACGGAUAAUGAUAUUGUUAAAUUGAAGUUAUUUCCCUUUUCACUUAGAGAUCGUGCUAAAGUUUGGUUUUCGUCUUUGCCUAAAAAUAGUAUUGAUUCUUGGAACAAGUGCAAAGAUACUUUUAUCUCUAAGUAUUUUCCUCCCGCUAAGAUUAUCACUCUUAGGAACGAUAUUAUGAAUUUUAAACAACUUGAUCAUGAGCAUGUUGCCCAAUCUUGGGAAAGAAUGAAAUUGAUGAUUCAUAAUUGCCCUACUUAUGGUUUGAAUUUAUGGAUGAUCAUACAAAAUUUUUAUGCCAGUUUGAACUUUGCUUUUAGAAAUCUUUUAGAUUCAGCCGCGGGAGGCACGUUUAUGGAAGUCACGUUAGGAGAUGCUACAAAACUUCUUGAUAAUAUUAUGGCUAAUUAUUCUUAAUGGCACACCGAAAGAUCUUCUAGUAAAAAAGUGCAUGCUAUAGAAGAAAUCAAUGUUUUGAGUGGAAAGAUGGAUGAACUUAUGAAGUUGUUUGCUACUAAAAAUACUCCUCUUGAUCCCAAUGAUAUGCCUUUGUCUACUUUGAUUGAGAAUAAUAAUGAAUCUAUGGAUGUGAAUUUUGUUGGUAGGAAUAGUUUUGGAAACAAUGUUUAUGGAGGAAACUUUAAUUCUAGACCGUUCCCUAGUAAUUCCUCUAAUAAAUAUGGAAAUUCCUACAAUAAUUCUUAUGGUAAUUUUAAUAAGAUGCCCUAUGAUUUUGAGAAUAGUGUGAAAGAAUUUAUGAUUUCUCAAAAGAAUUUUAAUGCUUUGCUUGAAGAAAAAUUACUCAAAGUUGAUGAUUUGGCUAGGAAAGUUGAUAGACUUUCGCUUGAUGUUGAUUCUCUUAAACUUAGAUCUACUACUCCUCAGCAUGAUAUCAAUGAGUCUCCCAAAGCCAUGAGAAUUUCCAUCGAUGAGUGCAAGGAAAGAACCGCUAGAUUGCGUGCUAAGAAAGAUUGCUUUGUAAAGGCGUGUUCUUCUAGUUUCCAUGAAAAUAAUGAUGAAGAUCUUAAAGUUAUUGAUGUGUCUCCUAUUAGAUCUUUGUUUUGCAAUAUGAAUCUUGAUAAUAAUGGGACUGGAGAUGAGUCAACUUUAUUUAGAAGGCGUCCCAAGAAUUCAGAGUUUUUAGAUAUUGAUGCUAAAUUUGGUAAAAGUGGGAUUGGAGAGGUCAUGACUUUAAAUAGUAUUGAACCCACUAUCUCGGAUUUCAAGGAAUUUGAUUAUGAUAAUUGUUCUUUAUAAAGUUGUAUUCGCUUGUUGCAAUCCGUUGUUAAUUCUCCUCAUGCUUAUAGUCAAAAUAAAGCUUUUACCAAACAUAUCGUUGAUGCCUUGAUGCAAUCUUUUGAUGAAAAACUUAAUUUGGAAGUUUCUAUACCUAGAAAACUUAAUAACGAGUGGAAACCUACUAUAAAGAUUAAAAUUAAAGAUCAUUAGUGUUUUGCUUUGUGUGAUUUGGGUGCUAGUGUUUCCACAAUUCUGAAAACUUUAUGUGAUAUUCUACGUUUCCAUGAUCUUGAUGAUUGCUCUUUAAAUUUGCACCUUGCGGAUUCCACCAUUAAAAAUCCAAUGGGAAGGAUCAAUGAUGUUAUCAUUGUUGCAAAUAGAAAUUUGGUGCCCAUAGAUUUUAUCGUUCUUGAUAUAGAUUGCAAUCUUUCUUGCCCUAUUAUUCUUGGUAGACCUUUCCUUAGAAUGAUUGUUGAGAUUAUUGAUAUGAAGGAAGGGAAUAUGAGAUUACAAUUUCCAUUAAAGAAAGGCAUGGAGCACUUUACAAGAAAUAAAGUCAAAUUACCUUAUGAAUCUAUCAUGCGAGCUACCUAUGAAUCAAGUGCCAAAGAUGGCACUACUUAGAUCUAUCUUCGCUUUUAUGCCUAGCUAGGGGCAUUAAACGAUAGCGCUAGUUGGGAGGCAACCCAAUUUUCUUUGUGUUUUUUUUGUUUUUGUUCCUGUUUAGUAAUAAAUUUUGCAUCUAACUUCUGUUUAGAUGUGUUUUAUGUUUUAAUUAGUGUUUGUGCCAAGUAGAACCUAUAGGAUAACCUAUGAUGAUAGUUGAUUUGAUUCUGCUGAAAAACAGAAACUUUGUGCUCACGAGAACAAAUUCAAUAAAUCACAGAAACGUGAUUUUGCAUUUAUUCGUUUUGCUGCUGAUCAAUAAACAAAUUUUCCAGGACUUCCUAUUUUGGUAGGAUUUUUAGAGUUCCAGAAGUUUGCGUUAGUUACAGAUUGCUACAGACUGUUCUGUUUUUUGACAGAUUCUGUUUUUCGUGUGUUGUUUGCUUAUUUUGAUGCAUCUAUGGCUAGUAUUAAGUGGUAUGAACCAUAGAGAACUUGGAAUACAGUAGGUUUAACACCAAUAUAAGUAAAGAAUGAGUUCAUUACAGUACUUUAUGUGGUGGUUUUGUUUUCUUUCAUUAACAGAGCUUAUGAGAUUUCCUAUUGAGUUUUGUGUUCUUAAGUUUUCCAGUUUUGGGUAAAGCUUUGAUGGACUAUGGAAUAAGGAGUGGAAAAAGCCUAAGCUUGGGGAUUCCCAAGGCACCCCAAGAUAUUCAAUAAUAUCCAAAAGCCUAAGCUUGGGGAUGCCCCGGAAGGCAUCCCCUCUUUCGUUUUCGUUCAUUGGUAACUUUACUUGGAGCUAUAUUUUUAUCCGCCACAUGAUAUGUGUUUUGCUUGGAGCGUCGUGUAUUAUAUUAGUCUUUGAUUUUUAGUUUACCACAAUCAUACUUGCUGUACACACCUUUUGGGAGAAGCCCACUUGAUUAGAAUUUAUUAGAAUAUGCUAUGUGCUUCACUUAUAUCUUUUGAGCUAGAUAGUUUUUGCUCUAGUGCUUCACUUAUAUCUUUUUGAGCACGGCGGUGGCUUAAUUUUGUAGAAAUUGCUAGUCUAUCAUGCUUCACUUAUAUUAUUUUGAGAGUCUCUUAGAACAGCAUGGUAUUUUCUAUGGUUAUGAAUUUGGUCCUAGAAUGAUGAGCAUCCAAGUUGGGUAUAAUAAAAACUACCAUAGAAAGUGCAUUAAACACUAGGAUCAAUUUGAUGCUUGAUAAUUGUUUUGAGAUAUAAAGGUAGUAAUGUUAGAGUCAUGCUAGUGGGUAAUUAUGAAAUUGAGAAAUACUUGUGUUGAAGUUGGCAAGUCCCGUAUCAUGCAUGUAUGGUAAAAGUUGUGUGACAAAUUUGUUGCAUGAGGUUCUCUUUUGAUUGUCUUCCUUAUGAGUGGCAGUCGGGGACGAGCAAUGGUCUUUUCCUACCAAUCUAUCCCUCUAGGGGCAUGCGUAUUAGUACUUUGCUUCGAGGGCUAAGUAUACUUUUGCAAUAAGUAUAUGAGUUCUUUAUGACUAAUGUGAGUCCAUGGAUAUACGCACACUCAUCCUUCCAUUUAGCUAGCCUCUAUUAUACCACGCAACUUUCGCCGGUAGCAUGCACCCAUUAUUUACCUUCCUCAAAACAGCCACCAUAUCUACCUAUUAUGGCAUUUCCAUAGCCAUUCCAAGAUAUAUUGCCAUGCAACUUUCCACCAUUCUGUUUAUUAUGACACGCUCCAUCAUUGUCAUAUUGCUCUUUGCAUGAUCAUGUAGUUGACAUCGUAUUUGUGGCAAAGCCACCUUCAUAAUUUUCAUACAUGUCGCUCUUGAUUCAUUGCAUAUCCCGGUACACCGCCGGAGGAAUUCAUAUAGAGUCAUAUCUUGUUCUAGCUUUGAGUUGUAAAUCAAUAAAAGUGUGAUGAUCUUCAUUAUUAGAGCAUUGUCCCAGUGAGGAAAGGAUGAUGAAGACUAUGAUUCCCCCACAAGUCGGGAUGAGACUUCGGACUUUACAAAGAAAAAAAGAAGAGAGAAAGGCCAAAAAAAAAAAAGGCCAAAGAAACAAAAAGAAAAAAA